CUCUUCCUCCUCUUCCCCCGCAAAAGAGCACCCCGCUGAAGAGCAGCGCUGCCUCCGACACACGUAUGGAGAACGAAGAAACCUACCACCCAGGUUACAGCCCGGCUCCUAGCAUGGACAACCCCCCCGCUAGCCAACCUUCCCCAAGCGAGGGCAACCGGGAUAACGAUUAGGGUCCGAGUGACAACAUCCUUGUAAGCAAUCUUUUCAAACUCUUUUUCAAUCCUUACCUUCAUGAAUAAAGAUCUUACACACAUAUGCCUUCUUCUUGUUAUACGCAGGCACCGGUGAAGUGUCGUAUCCAUGUUGACAAGCCUGGGAAGCCUAUAGGCGCCAUUGGCCGCCUGAUGCCCAGACAAUCACCGCCACUGGUGCACGGCAUUCUCAUGAACGACGCAAAAGUGAGUGUGAUGAUGGACUCCGUCGUCGACGACCAUUGGGAUUAUGCUAUCCCGCUACCUCCGAAGGAAGGCGUGGAUAUCCUAGGAGGUUGUCCAAACUACCUAAUUAUGUGGCCUAGGAGCUUGGUAUCCCUCUACAACCACCGCCGGCUCUCUAUGACUCCAUCUCCCUCCGCCCAGAAAGGUACUUCUCAUUUGCCGCUCGGCCUUUCCCCUAGGAUACUUCCUCUUGUAGAUGCCGGCGGAGAUGAAGAGUGGGCAAUGUCGAUGGCUGCACAGCUCAAAGAUAGCCAGACCACAGGGUCGGCACAGGCUGGAAGCGUCCCUCCCACCUUCUUUCUCUUGGGUGCCACUGAGUCCAUGGGUGGCCGCAAGAUCGAUGGCAAGUACAAGGCAGAGGAGCAGAAGGCAUGGGACAGUAAGAGGAGGCAUAAAAAGAGGGGGCGCGGCGGCAAGACCACUGUCACUCAAGAUGAGAUGCACCAUGUGCCCGACAUAAUUGGAGUCUGAGAGGACAAUAGGCCUGACAUUCUCAUCAAGAACCCAUAUCAAGGCCAGAGAUUCGAAGACGGAUCCUAUUUUGUGGCUAGGGAUUUCGACCGGGUGCUUAUUUACUAUCCUGGAAGACCAAUGGUCACCGAAGAUUCCCUGCGUGCCAUGUCCAGAGAGAUGCAAGAGCUUCAUCAGUUCUACAUGCAAGCAUCAGCUGGUUCUGAACAACAUGCCCAACAGAUCAAUGUUAGAAUCCCACGAGACUAUGGCUUCUUUGACCAAGAAACUGGGAGCAUUCAAGAACGUCAUAUCACCUUUGGUGUGGAGUUCAACGAACUGUUCCACCUCUUCAACCGCCAAAAGCUUGAUAUCAACCUCUUAAGGCUGUGGUCUGCCUACCAAAUAAGAGAACUGCGGCGAUUGGAGGUCAAAAAAGUAGCCAUUCUAGACCCCACGAUGUUCAACUACGGUGACAUCGGUCUUGAGCCUGAAAAGGAUGCCUUAAGAACCAUGGCAUCUAAAUACUUGGUGGCAUGUCUCGAGAAAUACGCGGACGACGACUUCAUCAUCUUCUUCCUUAAUUUGGAGUAAGUUCAAUUUUAUAUAUGGAACCGUUUGUUUUUUCUAAUUCAGUUUUUCUUAUACACUCUUAGAUACUAAAGUUUGUUUCUUUUGAAAAUAGAGACCAUUGGGUGACACUACUCAUUUGUUUGCCUUGGUCCGCGGUGUGCUACUUCGAUUCACUGCUUCCGAAGAAGGGUGUUCGAGGUAGGUUCUGAAAACCCAUCAAAUCACUCAUUAACACUGCCUGGAAAGUGGCGACCAAGGGAAAACUAACUGGUAAAGGCUAUAAAGACGAGCCUCACCACAACCACAGGUUCCCUUGCCAGCAACAGCCGCCCGACAAUGUGUUCUGUGGCUACUACUGCUGUCACAUCCUUAUGGAGAAUGCCAGCAUGUUCAAGCCUGAGUGGAAGGGGUCAGUCGCGGCGAUGAAAGAGUACUGGCGGCCCCGAAUGACAAUGGGACACCGACGUAAAUGGGUCGUGUAUAACAUUCAACGGGAGUUCGCCCAUCUCGUAAACAAUGAGGUCAUCAAGCCUAGUGGGGACUUCUUCGCACGUGUGGAACAAGUCGUGUCUAGGGUCCACCCACGACAAUAGAUUCAUUUGUAUUCUUUAUAUGUUUUCAUGAAAUUUUGACACUUUGUAAUUAUGCUUAUAUGAAAUUGUGACACUUUGUAAUCAAUGUCGUGAAGUGAGUUACAUUUGUAUUCUUUAUAUGAUGCGGCUUAUAUACAAUUGUAUGCUUUAAAUGAUGUGAUGUGAUGUGAUGCGGCUUUAUGUAUUUUUCUGUGAUGAGAUACAUUCUGUAUAUAAUUUGCUGAGCUGUAUAUAAUUUGCUGUGUAUUUCUUGUGUAUUUACUGUGGUUUUAAUUUUUUUUUAAAAUACCGACAACGUAUCAGUGUCGGUCGACCGACCGACAGUGAUGGGGCGAUGCGACCGUUACUGAUGAUACAUACAUCAGUAACGGUCGUGAAGUAGCGACUGCCACUGAUGUAUGUAUACAUCAGUAACGGUCGCUUUGACCGUUACUGAUGUCAGUAACGGUCCGGCCGACCGUUACUGAUGAUGGGUAUCAUCAGUAACACGAAGUUUGUAACGGCGGCCUCGACCGUAAGCGAUAUGAGUUUUCGACCGUUACUGAUAACCAUUUCUGUAGUAGUGGAUCCUCACCUUUGGUAUAUCUGCUACGGCCUAACAGGUGGUCCACUCGAAGGCCCACUAGAAUCCGUGAAGGCCAACUACCUUGGUUUGAGACUCGAGAUAAGAACAGAUAAUUAAGAAAACGAAAUCAGGGUUUAUCUCUAAUUGUAACCGACCCGUACUCUACACCCGAAACCUAGCCUCCUAUAUAAAGGACUAGAAGGGGGAGCCGGGGAGGGGAGCCUGUUCUCUGUUAGAGGGAUGCACAAAUCUCAUCUCUCAUACACGCCUCCAUGGCAACCUUGUAAUCUCUCUAUCAAUACAGAUCAGACAAGCAGGACGUAGGGGUAUUUUCUUCUGAACGGCCUGAACCUAGGUAAAUCGUAUCUUCUGUGUCCUUGUUAGCCGAUGGAAUCGUCAACACACAACCGUGCUCUGCCUACUCGAAAGCCAUCUAGUUUGGAUAUGCCGAGGUAGCCUCUCGUCACGGACGACGAAGUAUAGAUUAGUUGGAUUGCUAUUAGUAAUGUCGGGUCAGAGUCUUGAAAUUAAGGAUGGAUAGCCAAGCAGUGCCCAGUCGGUGGCCCCUGCGAAAAAAAUCAAAUCUACUGGCGGCACCCACCAAUUGGCCCUGGUGCAUCCAGCCCGCCCCGCGCUGCCACCAGCCUCAGAAACAACAACCGAACCAAAACACCCACACGCAGACGCGGUCACGGACACACACAAAUUUACGGUCGCGCCUCUCGCAGUUACUUUACCUACUACUUCUACGGCUCCGGCCACGUCGCGAGGCGAGGGCAGCCACAUACAGGCGUAAGCGGCAGGCCACGCUCACCUCGCAGCCACCAUAGGAGAGCCCCAGCUUCCAUCUUCUUCCCCUCUCCUAACGUGUCCGCCUCUUUCCCCACCCGUCCCCCACCUCCUCCCAAAUCUCCCCUCUCGGGCACGCUAUUUAUAUUGGGGCGAGCGAGACAGCCAAGAACCUGUGUUGCUGCCAAAGCUCUGAAGAAGAAAUCACUCCUAGCUGUUUUAGUUUUAGCUACCUUUUCUAGCUAGCUGCGUGUGUAGCUCAGCUCGAUCAACCGGCUGCAUGGCAUUCAGUGGCCACGGCGUCGGCUUGGAGGGCUCGGAGAAGAGCCAGCCGGCCCGGCCCGAGACGACGUCAUCCGAUCACCAUGAGGCAGUGGUGCCCGAGCAGGUGUCCGCAACCGCAAGAAUGUCGACGUCCAAGGAGGAGAAGCUGCUGAAGUCGCCAGCCAAGGAGGAGGAAGGGGAGGAUGCUGGGGAGAGCACGCGGGAGAGGCUGAAGCGGCACCGGCGGGAGAUGGCGGGGAAGGUGUGGGUGCCGGAGCUGUGGGGGCAGGAGAAGCUGCUCAAGGACUGGAUGGACUGCUCCGCCUUCGACCGCCCGCUCGUGCCGGCCGGCCUGCUCACGGCGCGCCGGGCGCUCGUCGCCGAGUCCUGCGCGCGCCGCCGCCCGGCGCCCACGCCACGUGCCAGCUGCUCCGCCAGCCCUCCUCUCCGGGUGCAAAACGGCUGCUCCUGAGCGCUUUCUCCCUCGAUCUAGCUAUAUAUACAAAUGCACAUACAUAUGCCUAGCUUAAUUUCUUCUUGCUCGAAUAAGAUACGAACCCUCCUGCUUGCAUGUUUCGGAGUUGUGAAGGCCUUUUUUUAUUUAGUAAGUACUGGUGAUCGAUCAUGUGAACAAUAUUUGCUUUCAUAUGAGCUUAUUUAGCUUAUAAUGCUAAUAUUUCUAGAAACAAUAAUCUCGGUCCAUCGGUUGGUGCAAAAACUUAAUUAGCUGUGCUUUUAUCAGAUGGCUUUGCUAUGUAUAUACAUAUUUGAUGGUUGUAUAUCUCCUGGAAUUGUGCUUUGAUGAUUUCUUAGAACUGUUAAGGGGCAUAUCGUAUGUGUACGUUCCUACUAGCUUUGAUUAGAACGUUUCCUGGGUGCUGGCUUUACGUAGUUUGGUGAAGAAAUAUCAAUGGACUUUAAUGAAGUCAAACGAUCUGAUUGCAGGUUUAGACCAUAAAGCUGUGUAGGAAGUAGUUUGAGCUUAUUGUUGGGUCAGGGUGAACCUUUUCAACACUAGUGACGUGGUUUCCUGCCAUUCUUUCGUUUCUUCUUCUCCUUUAGAGGAACAGAAUCUCGCCUCUUUCGCUAGGUUCUAGCUAGCUAGUGUUCAUUUUGGAAUUAAGAACGUGAUCUAUAUACUUCCUCCGUCCAAUAAAAGAUGUCUUAACUUUGAUUAAAUUUGAAUGGAUCUAGACAUGAUUUAGUGUAUAGACUAUUCUUAUUUGUUUGACGGAAGGAGUAGAACCUGUUGCAUACGUUAGCAAGCUCAAAAUCAUAAAUGGCAUAGCUUUAGGACAAUUUCAGAAGCACUUGCUAGCUAAUAUGCGUGGCACUGUGUGGUUUUACAGCUAGCACACUUGGUUCAAACUGUAGGGGAAUCUUUUGAUAUGGCUGCUUCUAGAAGUUUCAUAUCUUCAUGCGUGGACAGUUCGAUAUGAUCGUGGACUAAGGUGUGCCACUGAAUCGGCCUCUAGACUCCUGUCGGUCUACUGCACCGUCAUGUACUUCUUUUAGAAAGUGGGGCAGAAAUCCGCACAGUAGUAAUCACCAACCUCUUAGAUCGACGAUAUUGAACAUAGACACACAUGCAACACAAUGGGUAUGUGAGCGCAACCAUUCUUAUUAUUUGAAUACAAAUCACAGCCCUGCCCUGCAACUUUGGGUUGUAUGCGUGUUUUGUUUACCCGCAAAAACCAAAAAGAAAGAAAGAAAGUGCAACAAGAAAGGUUGUUUCACUUGACGCCCGGCGAGACAGUAGGGAUAUAGAGUUUUUUUUUACAACAUAUUUGGUUUUAUUAUUGAUUCGUAAAACAAAGUACAAUAGAGAUUAAUAUAAUCGAAAUGAACGUAAACAAUGAAAAUUCACUUUAUAUAACUAAAACCUCCAUCAUGGUCUCAACAUCUCUAUAGAUUCAUCUUUUGCAUCUUCAUGUAAAACGAAGUACAAUAGAGAUUGAUAUAAUCAAAAUUAACAUAAACAACGAAGAUCCGUUAUAUAACUAAAAACUCCAUCAUGGUCGACUCAACAUCCCUAGAUACAUCUUUUGCAUCUUCACGUUUCUCCAUGUAUCAGGUCACGAAAUUACAGAACAUCAUACUUGCACAAGUUAAAUUAACUUUAUAGGUUUUGAAAAGCCGUAUGAGCCGCCCAUCUUAAAUAGUACUCCCUCCGUUCCUAAAUACUUGUCUUGCACGAAAACCACAACAAGUAUUUAGGAACGAAGGGAGUAGGAAUUUAAGAUCGUUAAACGCACCAUGACAGGGGGCACAGCCUUACAAGGCGAGCUGUGAAACCACUACUCCAUUCAUGAAUCGAAAAGAAAAAAGACCAAAAGAAGAAUUGCGAGAACCUACUCCAUGGAGUAGGCUGCGAUGCUUACACCCACCAGGAUGAGGACUGAGUCACGACAUCAAUCUUAUAGACGAUGUCAUCUCCACCAUCUAUAAUUCGAUAUGCCGCCGCGAAGAACACAUGAAUCUAAUUAGAAAAUUGCAAAAUUAGAUGCCACAUGCCGAUUCGUGGUUCUCACAUCUCUUAAUGCCCGAUCAUCCGUCAGAAACAAGGAAAAAUGCCAAAGAUUGAAAUUUUCUUCGACGACAACGGCUAGGUUUUUUUAUUAUUAAUAUAUGACUGUAGGCAUUUUUGCUUACAGUCUUUCACCUCAAAAAAAACAAUGGCUAGGUUUUUUCUCCCGGCGGUAGAGUUUCUGCCCGUCAGCCCAGAAGAGGAGAGCAGAGUAGUGGCAAAACGAACUGAACCGAGAGCAAUUUGCUCAUGGGCCCAGUCCACCCAACUACGUAUUGCUAGCCGCCAGACGGGGACCUUUUCUCCCCUCGUUCCAACGGGCCCAUUCCAUUUCUCACCCACCAAGCCCUGGAGAGCAGAACGGCCCCAUUCUAAUUCUCGCCGUGUGCGCUGCCAUCGCGUCCGUCCAAGCAACCAGAUCAAGUCCUCUCUCAAAAAAAAAGCAACCAGAUCAAGAUGUUGUCGGAUAAGGGGCCCAAGCGCGCGUACCCAGUCGGAUGCCUGCCUGCCGCCUCGCUUCCCUGCGUUACUGUUAAAAUCCGGAAGCUCCACGCUACGCUAAGCUCCGUCGACGCGUCUGUCUCUCUCCCCAAUCCGAAUCCCACAGCCCUCCUUGACCGUUCCAUUUAUACCCUCUUCUCCUUCCCCCUUCGCCGCCUCUGCCUGACCCUGCCCCGGAUUGCAGCCCGGCCGGCGUCUCCCCUUCUGCUAGGUCAGUCAAUUCUCAGUCUGCUCUACCGUACGUCAUAGAACUUCUGCCCAAAUUAAAGCAUCUUGCUGUUUCAUGUGGAUUCCACGUUUGUUUGCUUCUAUUUCCCUAUAUAGCAAUGGUGAUUCUGUUUUUCCGUCGAUGUGGACGAAGCAAAGCAUACUCCAUUUGGGAGAUGAACCUGUAGUAAAUUACGGUUUGUCACUAGCUAGCUGUAUUGUACGCCGAUAGCGCAAUGCAGUGAAGCCCGUGCUCGUAUUUUAUAGCUUCGCCCCUGUUUGCCCGGCUCUCUCCGGUGGAUGUCUGUGUUGCCCUCAUUAGCUUCAGUUUCAGGUUUCUAUAGGGUGCCCAAAUCUAAUAAAAUCAGUAAGGAGUACUUGUCAUAAUGCAUCCAGCUCCUCAGAUCAGUUGUCCUUAAUUGCUUGUAUUUGUAUGUGCCAAUGUAUCAGUCCAAUUCACCCCACAAGGCCACAGACAUCGGAAUUCGGAGGGCUCGACGAUAGUAUUUGCAUCAUGAAUUGGGUCCAUCUUGUUGGUUUUUAGCUGUGAUUCUUUCAGGUCAUUGGCAGUAUCGAGUAGCCAGACGCACGGUCGACAGGCAAUUUGCCUCUCACGAGAGCAGUGACACCAACAGUAGUACGAGUAUGAUGACUAAUUUAAGGGAAGAAACCACAACACUAUCUGCAAUAUGUAAAUAUUGUGUUUAAUAUGCAACACAUGUUUCCAGAGAUGGAAUGCUUACUCUUAUCGGCAUUACUUAUGUCGUAAGGGUUUCGGCUUACUCUGAAAGAGCUUUGUGGUCAAAAGGAACUGAUAAAAAGGUUGAUGCUAUGUCAUUGUAAUUCGAGUGGGGAUGACAAAGAUCCACAUAAAGUUUCCCAGAGAAAUGGAGAAGUUCAUUCACUACAAUAGGCUCGAUGUGUGUCGUGCACUCGCCAUGUCAUCCAUAUCCAAAUCUGAACUGCAAGUUGUGAAAAAUUGGACAUUUCUUAUCCAUCAGGUGCUUGACUGUAAUAGCAUUGUUUGUACUUUUAGCGUGUGUAGGCAAAGGAUGUUAUAGGUCACUGUUAGAUUAAAAAACAAUGAUCCAUAACGAUCAACCAGCUUAAAGUGUCCACCUUUUAUGGCCUGUUUGAAAUAUUCUUUCAGCUUUUUCAUGAAAUGGAUAUGCCAAACUUCUGUGAUCAGACGGCGUUGUUUUUCUUUUGUAACUGCUACCUGCUAACAUUGUCAGAACGUUCGAUCGCUUUACUUUAUUAGCGUUUGCUUUCAGAUCCGUUCUUUAGCCAGAAAUUCUAAUUUGGUUGCUUGGUCACAUCUUAUAGCUAAGAACUCCUCUACCGUUUCAUAUGACAAAUUACCUUUCUCUUUGAGAUCAUAAAGCUUGAUUUGUAGAUAAGUCAGUCCAGCUGAAGCCUUGAGUUUUCAGGCAGUAGUAGAACCGCAGGACCAACCCUCACUACACAUGUUUGGUCUUACAGAUCGAAAGUAGGAAUUUGGGGGACAAAUACUUGUACUACUUGAAUUUAGUGCCUGUAAACAUCCCUACUAUUUUUUUCUCCACUCAUGUAGUAAUUCCUGAUUACAAUUUUCCAGAUCUCAAACAUCCAAGAUGACGACUACAUUCACAACACCAAUCUUCUGCAACUUCAGGGCCAACCCACACCUGCAGCAGCUGCCUCUACGGAGCCACAGCAGCACGAGGCAAGCCCAGCAUCUGCACCUGAGCCCGGUGCGGAUCAUGCCGAUACCGACAUCACCAGGCUCGAGGACAUCUAACGACUUCCGCGCCGCGGCGGCCGCGUACAAGGUGAAGCUGAUCGGGCCGGAAGGGAAGGAGAGCGUGCUGGACGUGGCGGAGGACAGCUACAUCCUGGACGCGGCCGAGGAGGCCGGCGUCGAGCUUCCUUACUCGUGCCGCGCCGGCGCGUGCUCCACAUGCGCCGGCAAGGUCCUGGAGGGCGCCGUGGACCAGUCGGACCAGUCGUUCCUCGACGAAGCCCAGGUCGGCGCCGGCUACGCGCUCACCUGCGUCGCCUACCCCACCUCCGACUGCGUCAUCCAGACGCACAGGGAGUCCGACCUGUACUAGAUGAGUUCAUUUCCGAGCCCGUAGUGUAAUAAUCUUGGCGCUGUGAUCCCGUCUGAUUGCGUAGCUGUCGAUGAGACUUGGCUAGAUUUUGUUCUGGAUUUCAAAUCGUUGUCUGUCUACGCUUUAACCUGAGCAGCUCUCUCCAUGUCCUCAUGUGGAUAUCUCGGAAUCUGUCGAAGCCCAUCUUGAGGUUGACGGCGUGCCUGCCGCGUCAAUCGGCUUCAGGUUCGCUGCCGUUCUUGCGACAUCCAUGGGUAAAAACGGACGGAUCUGUCUGGAAUGUUGUCCGGGCGCAAUUAUUUGGAUGCUUUGCUGCAGAAAGGUGUCACUUGGGUUGGGGCCUUGGGGGUAGAGUCUGAAAAGCUCGAUCGCCCGAUCUUGACAGCGUGAGGAGAUGCCGAAGAAAUGGGGGUUUGUCGCUUUUCUGAACUCCGAAUUGUUGCGAUCUUGGCUGGUCUGUGUUUGUUGGUUGGUUGAUGAAGACGAAGUUUUAAAAAUGAAAAGACCUUUUUUGUGAUUUGAGGUCGGUACCAAGUAUGCGUGUCCAAAAUGGUUGGAUUCGCGUGCACCUGCACCGUAUAUUCGAUCGGCGAUCAGUGUGGGAGGCGGUCGUCCAUGCAUGGUCAUGGAGGGGACACAAAAGCUGAUGAAACAAAAGGCGAUGAACUGGCUGAAAGAAGAUUUGUAGCGUAAUGGAACCCAAAUAAAGGCGCCAAAUGGAGAAAAAGAAAAAGGAAUCGACGAUCCUGACGAUGUGUUAGUUGGUUCACAUGUGUCGCCUCUCAAAUUAUUGCCAUGAAUGACGAUUCAUGAGAUCGAGUCGCUAAUGUGCCAGUUCUCCAAACUCUGUCCGGUUCGUCUCAACAAGAUCGAAGUCCAGUGAACCGCAUUGGUAGACAAAAGGGUCAAGUGGUCAACGUCGCAGCUAGCGCUAGGUUGACAAAAGGGGCGGCGGCGGCAGGCAGCAACAGAGCUUGUAGCUGGAUCUCGUCGGCCCGUGACUGGAAUCCUAGCCUGACGCACACAAGCGGUUUGCGCCCGCGCGGGCUACUCCACGUGCCGCCGAGUCGGAGCGGCGUCGCAAGCACCCAGACCAUCGUGUCGCGUCGCGUCGACCGCCACCGCCCCAUGCAUCACCCCGCAGUCCCGCACGGACGCCAGCCAUGCCAUGGUCCCGCUUCACUCCAGGAGUCCAGAAUCCGUCCAGAGCCAGUGGCAGCAGCAACACGCCGGCAGGAUCUUCUCGGCUCCCGUUUGGGAGAAAGCCAUUUGGGGAACCACUCCAACGGCCCUGGUAAGAAAUGCAUAAUGGUCUUUGCCCGUGUGUUCCCUCAAAAUGUGCAGCGUGAUUCGUGCCCCUGAUCUCAUCAUCGACCGGGCCCGUUCGACAGGGGAUCAAGUGAACAACCGACGGAGAAGAGCACGGAAUGCCGAUGGGGAAUACGGGUACCAAAACCGCCGGUGCACACAUCGGACAUACGACCCAAACAAGGGAACGGUCGGUGGGGAUUCUCGUCUGGAGAUCGACACGCGUCGAGCGCGCGCAUGUGGAGGUUGGUUUGAGAAGCCAGGGCCGGACCGACCCACGCACGCUCCCUGUUUCCGUUUCAAGCUCUCCUGAGCUCCUCGCAAGUACAAAACCAGAAUUCCGCAGUCUCCACUCUCGACGGCCACAAAGCACACCCAAGACGCAACGCAACGCCGACGCGGCCUAGGCUAGCUAACGACCAUAACUGCCCAGUGGCACCCGGGCUCGAUCGUCACCCGCUCAGCUUAUUAAGUAGCCCCGACGCCACCCGUACGCUGCCGAAGAACAGAAGCAAAUUAAAGCACGACACAUCCUCACGAGUCUCACCACUCACCACACGCAUAAGCGCGCGCGAGAGAGAGCAUCGAAGGGUCCAGCAUUGGCGAAAGCUCUACACCGUCCAGUCGUCUCGAUAUCCCACGGCUGGCUCACGUACUGCUCGCUACUCCCCUGGUUGGGAUUGGAGCUGGGACCUGGGAGGCGUCGAGUAAUCCAUGGCGGUGGCUGGGCCGUCCCCGACUGGGUCGCUGCCGCGGCUUCGCUUCUUCCUCUUCGUCCUCACGAUCUUCCUCACAGCCACAGGUGAGCCCCGUGCAAUCCGUUGACCUCCUAAUAUGGGAUUUUGGAGCCUGAGCCGAUGUGUCAGUGCAGAUGAUAAAUUAAUUAGCGACUGAAUUAGCUUGAGCACAUGAUCAUUGAAUGAAGCUCCGACGAAUCUAGGCAUCUGUGAUUCACCCGGGAGGGCUAGCCUAGCCGGUUUUGAUUUAGGCUCAAAGUGAAUAUUUCUUGAUUUUUUGCUCUGAAUGCUUUUGCCAUUCUUCUUGUGCUUACUUGUCCUUGUUUACAAUCAAUUUCUCAAACUUGCACGGCAUCGCUAAUCUUGGAGUGAAGUGAGUGCCAAUGGCUUCUUCUGAUUACUUUAUUUUGUUUUGCUCUGAUUUUUUCUUCUUCUUAAGGCAUCCUUUUCUAUAUAAUGUUAUUUGUCUCGAUAAGUGAAAGCUUAUUAGUCCAUACUCGUUAUUUUUGUUCUUAAAAGAAUUGUAUGACGCUGUUUCUAUCUACCUUUCAUAUUAGAUAGUGGAAGAAUCAAAUUCUGGCCUCUGCAUCAUACCACCAACUCAAAAUGCACACAACCAGGUUAUUACAAGACCACAAAGCUCGGCGAAAAAAGAAAAGAAAAGAAAUGACAUGUCAUGCAAGAAAGAAUACAUUCCAAAGACAAUCCAGCUACUGAUAGUUGGUUAUUAGGUGUGUACUUGCUGAGAUUAUCUUAUUUGCAUUGUUAAUGAAUAGAUGAUAUAUCUAGUGAGAUCACAUGGUCCCUCAAGGUGCUUCAUGGCGUAAGGCAGCUGCCCACUAGAUAGCAUCUCCAAAACCCAGUUUUACUAAAUAUAAGCAAUCUGUGCGUUCUAUAUUGCUGAGAAACGAGUCUAUUUGUUACCUGUCCCCCCUCUGCUUUUCGUCCCAACUUGACGUGGAUCUGAUCUGGUCCAGACUCCAGAGCUGCGAAGACUUUCUCCGAAAAGUUUGCAUUGUCUGAAAGGGUGGCCAAGUGGCUUGCUUAUCACAGUUCGUAGUUGCCAGCUAAACCUGAUGUACUUUUUGAUCACUUGUGGCCACUCGGCACUCGGACAGAAAUAAAAUAAAACAUGUAGGCUAGCUAAAAGGUGUUUGACGACGUACUACGUGCGUGGGAUUUUAUUAGCUUGAUUCUUGGUAUGAUGCUCCAAUCACAUGCCCACAUGUGGACCCGAGCUAUCGCUGGACCGCGUAAUUAAAAAGACUGUGUGCAGAGUUGGUCCAACCGUCCAGGUGCAGCUUAGUACGUAUUCAUGUUAUUCUAAACCUUUGAUGAUUUCUUACCGUUACCGGCGUUCUUCCGGGCGAAAUUGAUGUUCUCUGAAGUUUCGUAUAAUGAUCCAAAUAACCAAACAAAUCAAAACAAAGUCACUGAAUCAUACUCAUAAUUAGCGAUCGAACAAUGUCGUCGAUUAUCCAAUUAGUGAUCGAUCUGGAUUCCCUUUUUGGUUGUGGCCUUGCCGGAGAAUGCGGUUUCUAUUGAACUUGAUGACGCUGAUACACAUGCACACAGAUCAUGGUUUCUGAUUGUGUUACAAUACAAUGGCAUUCGCAUGCAGCAGAUGAAGCGGUGGCAGCAGCAGGAUCAGGAGGGCUGUCGAUCGGGAUCAACUACGGGCAGAUCGCGGACAACCUCCCUUCGCCGUCCCGGGUGUCGUGGCUCCUCCAGUCGAUGCAAGUCAACAAGGUGAAGCUGUACGACGCGGACCCGAACGUGCUGAGCGCGUUCCUGGGCACGGGCGUGGAGUUCGUGGUGGGCAUCGGCAACGAGAACGUGUCGGCCAUGACCGACCCGGCGGCAGCCCAGGCAUGGGUCCAGCAUUACGUCGUGCCGUACCACAACCUCCCAAUUAGCACCACCACCACGACGCGCCGCACGAGGAUGAUCACCUGCGUCACCGUCGGGAACGAGGUGUUCAAGGGCAACGACACGUCCCUCAAGGCCAGCCUCGUGCCGGCCAUGCGCUCCGUGUACGGCGCGCUCGCCGCGGCCGGCCUCCAGGGCCAGGUGAACGUCACCACGGCGCACUCCCUGGACAUCAUGGGCAGCUCCUACCCGCCUUCCGCCGGCGCGUUCCGGCCCGACGCGGCGCCCUACAUGACCCAGCUCCUCGAUUUCCUCUCCACGACCAACUCCCCGUUCCUCAUCAACUGCUACCCGUUCUUCGCCUACAGGGACGACCCCAAGGGGGUGCCGCUGGAGUACGUGCUGUUCCAGCCGAACGCCGGGGUCACGGACCCCAACACGGGGCUCAACUACGACAACAUGCUGUACGCGCAGGUGGACUCGGUGUACGCCGCGAUCCAGGCGCUGGGCGGGCAGUACGCCGGUGUCGACGUGAAGAUCUCCGAGACCGGGUGGCCGUCCAUGGGCGAUCCUGAUGAAACAGGCGCCACGCCCGAGUACGCCGGGGUCUACAUCGGGAACCUGCUGCGGAGGAUCGAGGCCAAGCAAGGGACGCCAAGGAGGCCAUCGGUGCCCAUUGACGUCUACGUGUUCGCCUUGUUCAACGAGAAUCUGAAGCCUGGGCCGGCCUCCGAGCGGAACUACGGGCUGUUCUACCCUGACGGCACGCCGGUCUACAACGUCGGGUUGCGUGGGUACCUCCCGCCCGUGGAAGAUUCAGAUGGCACUCGAAAGGUAAGGAUUAAGGUGGCUGCUGUCAGAUUCUGCAAAUCUGUUGCAAACUUUCUGAAUGUCGAUCGACCAUACCUAGAGUAUACACAGCAAUGUCGUUUUCUUUAUGAGACGAUACUGUCGUCUUUUGCAUUUCCCCCCCUACUUUUUCUAUGCAUGAGAUUGAGACCUCACCUGAUAUGCAGCGACAUGUUUAUUUGUCUUUGGCAGGUGAUUCACUUGUUUGCCCUCAUCGCAAUGGCAUCUAUCACUCUCAUCUUGUCCUGAUCGAGAGUAUGCAUUAUUUGACCACCGCAGUAAAGCAGAUGAAGAUGUCCGGCCUGAGCAUCUCUUGGUGCUAGGGAUUUCACUAGCCGAUCACAAGGUAAGAUAACUGACGGAAACCUUUCACGGAAUUCAACCAAGAUAUCUUUCAUGCAUGUUCCGCUCUUCACAAUCUAGAACCGCACUUUCAGCUUGCGUGACAUUUUACAGGUUCUUUUCAUUUGUGCAACAUAUAGUUUUGCUCAGCAAACUAAUCAGUUUGCUAUGUUAUAUCAGGAGACCUUCGGAAGCAGAACCUUUUUCCUCCAUUGGUGUGAUGUUGGUAGCAUCCAGGAGCUGAAGUUGGCUCCAUACUGACAAUGAAGUAGAUCUGAACUAACUGCUUGGACAUAUGCUUCGCCAAUAUUUUUGUACAAACAACAUUGAUUUGAUAGGUUUUCUCUCGAUUCAUUCUGGAGAUAUCUUCUCUAUGAAACUGAAUAGUAGUACAAUACUUUAUUCGUAUACAAGUGGAACAGACAGGAGAUAAGAGAUAUAUAAAUUCAGGCAAAGGCUACAAAUUGUCACAUGUACUGUUCUUCCUCUCAUCAGCUCCUUAAUUUCAUCUGCUGAUAGAUUUCUUAAAGCAUCUUCCAACUCUGAUAGACUAAACAUGGUGAUGAGUACUACUGACACUAUCGACCUAGAAAGAAAAGCAGCAGCAAAAAUCUUGUUUAUACAUGAAACCCCGGUUCGAAUACCAGUGAUAUGUACUUGCUCAAAUUUAGUUUGUGGCGCGGCUACCCUCUCAGGAAAAAAAUUCUUGCAAUUUCUGCAUGAUAAAUGAGAUUUUCUUUUUUUUAUGAAACUAGCAUGGUGUCAUGCACAAUUGCGCUGGAAAUAUCUUUAUAUUUUGAUUCAUAGAUAUUUGUAUUGUUGUGCUCCUUUCCAUCCAAAUUAUAUUCACGGUUCUUUUUCAAAACAAUUGGACCUACACACCGAAACACGUCUAAAUACAUACAUAUCUAUACCAAAUUUUACCAAAGCUGUGACAAUUAAUUUGGACCGGAGGGAGUAUUAUUUUAUGUAUAUGGUGAAAACCCUCUUCAGUGCGAACUCCAUAAAAACCAUAUAUAAAAGAUUUAAAAAAUUCUUACAAAAAUAUGAUACGUUGGGCGUGUGAUGCCCUACAAAUGUGCAAAAUUUCAAGUUGAAAAUCAAAUGCAUUUGAAAGAAAUUAAAAUGAGAAAUAUACAAAUGAAUAGUGUCAAACAGUAAAGAACCACUAUUCAUGUUGAAUUUGUUUUUUUACUGCUACCAUACGCAAUUGAAAUUUGGACUUGAAAUUCUACACAUAUAUAAAAGAUAAAAGUUUGUUUCAAACCUCGAACUUGCAGACGAAGUCUAAAAACAACCUCAUCUUCUUAAUCCCCGAAUUUCGAACCCCGACCUUACAAUCCCAGCUAACCUUGAUGGUUUUUUCUUGUAAACCCGUUUGCCUAUCUAGGAUGAUGACAUGGCAGGGAUAAAAUGCUUGGGCCCCACCGGUCAUAAACAAAAUCGUCAUGCCGUAGCGUAUUUUUUUCUUUGGCUUAUGUAGCAUAUUAGGCCUACAUGGGCCCCAAACCUCUUUGGUCUUUCAUUCUUAGCCCAUCAGUAUACCUGCUCAUUAAAUCUUAACCGUUAGAUAUAAUCUAAUAGUUUAAAUAAUUCAGAUCAUGUGGAUCAACAUGGUGUCUUCACUUAAUACCCCUCAUUGUGCUUGGGCCUAUAUGUGCCCAAACCUGUUUGGUGUUUCGAUCCUAACCCAUCAGACAUACCAUGCUCAUUUGAUUUUAGGAUGGUGUGGAUCCGGACGACCCGACCCUCAACCGCUACCCGUACCCGUGGCCGGGUAUGAAAUUUUAUCAUACUCGCCACCCGCCAUGGGUACGGGUUACCCGCAGGUAUCUUUACCCGACCCGCUGGAACCUCAGAACAUCAUUAUUUCAGCAUCCGAAAGCAGUUAAAUAGCAACAUUCAACGACAUAAACACCCGGGGGAAGAAGGAGGAAGAUGCAUCCGGCGAAGGUUGGCGUCGCCGGUGUCACUUCCUUCGAAAUCGAUGUACAUCUCGCCGGCAAGAGGGCUACAUGAGCUUGCUCCCUGCGCGGCGUCGCCCGGCCGCAGACGGAGGACUCGAGGAGGCGUCCGACUGGUGGGCUGGAGGAGGCGGCGGACUGGUGGCGAGUGGAGAUCCGGCGUGGAGGAGGGCCAGGAGGCGGGGGCGCGGGGCAGCGGACUGGUGGAGGCCAGGAGGAGGCGGCGGCGGCGGCAGACAGGGGAAUAGGAAAUGAGUGGAAUUAGGGUUAGGUCUUGGGGGGCAAGUUAAUUAUCUUAUAUAUAACUGAAAAAGACAGGAGAUAUAUUCAGGGCUUCCGGCCAAGGCUGCCAAUUGUAACAUGUACUGUUCUUCCUCCCAUUGGCUCCUUAAUUUCAUCUGGCAGUAGAUUUUUUUAAACGUCUGCCAACUCUAUGAUACACCAAACAUGGUGAUGACUUGUUUAGAGAUGAAACCUCGGUUCGAACACCCGAUAUCUACUUGCUCAAAAUUAGUUUUUCGAUCGAUCACGGCCACCCUCACCGCCUCUCAGAAAAAAACCUUGCAUUUUUGCAUGAGAAAUGAGAUCCGGUAAACCAUCGGAAGUCUGACCGCUGAAGUAGUAUCUGCGCGAUUUCAGCGGCAGAAUGAACCGUACCAUGGGCUUUCCCCAGCACGACAGCGACAGCCCAUGUGCAGUGUUCAGGCCUUCGCCUUGCACGGCCUCCGGACAGAGCUGUUGUAAAAACAUUGUAUUUCGGCCUUCGCCUUGCAAGUGCCUCGCCACAAAAUUCUAUAUGCAUGUUAUAUUAGACUACUUGUAAAAACAUUGUAUUGCAACCGGGACAUGAGCAAUUGAGGUAGUCAUAUCAAAUAGUUUUUGAUAUAGCUACAAAGAACCCCUUUGAUUCAAUAUUUUAAUUAGGAUUAUAAUCCUUGGGAUUUUUCCCUCACGGAUUAUUUGAUUGUGAAGCUUCUUGGAAAAAAUUCUUUUUUUUUUGCUAUUAAGAAGUAGUUUGUUUUUUAGUUACAAACCAGUUGACGUUCUUGGCAGUCGGAUAUUAAUAUAACGAUAGCAUGCGAGAAUGGGAAGAGUGGAGAUGACUCUCGUCUUAAUCCAACGGUUGUGAUACGUCGAUUGAGAUUUAAACCCUUUUGUUUAAAAAACAUGUCAUGAAAAAAAGCCACACCUUUUUUUUAUUUGGUCUUAUCAAACCAACUUUUUUUUUGAGUGAAAGACUGUAGGAAAAACUCUCCUAAAGUAUAAUUGUGAGCACCAGGAUUUGAACCCUCCCACAACUCUACCACCACACCAAGAGUUGUUUCUCUUAUCAAAACAACUUUAGUGCGAAUUCAAUCCUGGAAUUGAUCAAUCGAGUGAGUGGCAUUGCAAUAUUUUGUUUUUGCUAUUUCUGCACUUUCUGAAACCUACGAAUGAGAGAAGCCCCAAGUGUUAUAGCAUGUUCAUAAUCUAGUUCAUCGGGUUAAUACUCGAAUGAUGCGGUUGAGUCGUAAAAAAUGUGCGCUUGAGAAAGAUAUGUUCAGAUAUGAUUAUCAAGAUCAGACUUUUUUUUUAUUGUUGUCAGUUCUUUUUAUGGUGUGUACUUUCUUCUCAUUAAUGUAAAAACGUGCAAUUCUUAUGCAUGGUCUAAAAAUAAGGGGUUUUUUAUUUCCGUGCCCUCGGUUCCUUAGAUGUACUCAGUUUUGUCUAAGGCUUAAAACGUUGCUCGCUUCUACACUUCGUUCUUUGGCAAAUGCUCACAAAUGUCCUCACGGCGGACCUGUUAACGGUCAAGGCCUUUGACGUUACCUCCUGAUGGAUGGGGCCAGGUUAAAUCCUGCUGAGUGGGGCCAACCUAGCUACUGACAUGUGGGGCUGAAGCAACAAGAAAAUGAUCCCUUUGACUGUAGAAGAAAUGAUUAGUUUGCAAGUGGGUCCACCAUCGGAAGGAAAACUCAAGCGGCUUCUGGCCACUGCCUCGCCGACGCUUUGCCGUCGCCAGAGUUGCUCUCCUGCGUGACACGGGCCAGGCAGGGGGUGGGGUGUCUAGCAGGCGCAAGGCCGCUUCACCCUGAGGUGGCGCUGGAGCUUCUCAUUGCUGAAAUCUUGCUGGCUGCGGGCUCAUGCGGUCUGCGGUGGCGGAGGGCAACGCUAGGGGGCGGGGCGAUACAGAGCACGGGAGAGGCAGGAAAGAGGGGCAAAAGAAUGAGUAGGUCAUCACAAAUCUGACGGAGGCAUUUGAAGGGGUGGAGGAGCACUGUGCGAGAACCUGGACGCCGGCGGGUGGUAGGCAGAGAGGAGCAACGACGCGGGGAUGACUCGGACCACGCGAGGCUCGAUGAGAAUCACCGGAAGGUUCAGAGUGAUCAGGUGGAGUUGAGGGAGGCGGCGGUCGAGUCCGGAGGUCGCCGGAGAAGGAGAUCUGCUCGGCGGCAGCAACCGGUACGAGCUGAGGAAGAAGAUGGUGACGCAGCGAUUGGAGGCACCUCGAGUCGAUUACUUCUACAGGAAGGAUUCUCGAGCCGAUGUGGGUCUCUUGGGCAAGGUGGCGAGGCUCGUGGAGGACGCUGGCCAUGACGGCACAAAGCAACGGCGUGCGAGCGUGCUCUGGACGACGCGAACGCCGUUCGCGUUCCGGCCAGAGGAGAGCACGAGAGGAUGCGCGGCUUGCGGAUACAGCUCCGACAUGUCUACGAGUCAUGGAGGCAAGGUUUAGUGGCCGAGUUGAGAAGCGACGGUGUCGUGAUGGACGGCAGAAAGAGCGGCCAGGAAGAUGAGUUGCUUUUGUUUAGCGGGGUGAAGAAAGAGCCAUUUUUUGUCCUUUGAGCCCACUUGAAUGGACAAUUUUGUAGGAAGCUUGGAAAUUGAACUUCCUCCAAAUUGAUCUCUGAUAGCACAUAUGCAAUCCGAAUGGAAAGUUAUGCAAGAUGACGAAAUUUCAAAUUGUUUUGAGAAAGUUGACUUUUGUUGACACUAUUUGGCUAUUUUAAUGUAAAUUUUGGAAUUGGAUCACAACAUUUUCUCCAAAUGAACUCAAACUUUGCACACUAGUCACAUAUGCCUAUUAAUGUCAUUAUCUCAAACCUUGUUCAAAUCUGAAUUGUUUACCUAUUUUUUGAAUUUCGAAUUCAAACAAAUCUAGGGAACUGUUACCUCAAUCACCGCUUAGAUUCAGAAUUUUCGUCCCAGAAGAUUUUCAUAGCGUUUAGUGUUCAUCCUUGAUGUUCUCUCCAAAUUUCAGAUUUUUGGAGUUCAGGAACGAUAUUUCGUGCAUUCUUUGAAUUUCCAGCCUUUUCGGCUCAUAAUUCAAAAUUCAAUGAAACUUCGCACAAAUCGAUGUGUAACCAAUAUAACAAAGUCAUGGUUUUGCCAUGGCAUUCCAAAAAACUUGGAAUGCACCGGGUCCAAACGCAUUUGAAUCCUUUUUGCACCUACAGUAUUGUUUUUGCCUAUUCUGCCAAUUGGAAAAAAAAUUCAGACCAAAAUCAAUUUGUGACCGGCCUUACUUUACUCGGGGAGGUCAACCAACGUUGUUUCAUUCAAAAUACUACAACCUUAUGCCGUUACCAUACCCAUAUAUAUAAGAGAAAAAAAAAUAUAGAUCGAUGCGUACGCAAGAUCGAUUACAAAAUAGGAAUAAAAAUAGAGAUACGUAGCAACAUAUACAUAUGUAGCUAGAGAUAAAUAACGGAUAACAUUAUGCAGCGUCAUCGCCGUCGCCGUUGUUGAGGCCGUGCUCCUCACGCAAGCCAAAGAUGGCGUCACGCUCCGCCCGGAUUUCCCGGACGUUCUACCUCCCCCGCUCCUCGAGAAGGUUGCUCCUCUCCGAGUUUAGCGUCGCGAGCUCAAACUCGUACCGCUCCCUCGCCUCCACCGCCUCCCGACCGCACUCGUUGGCGAAAUCUUCUGCCACGGAAGCCACCUUCGCGGCAGCCAUGUGCCGCCUGUUGGCUUCCCGCACACGUUGCUGGUACGUGUGCAGGAGCUUGGCGUGGCGCCGAUUGAUCUCGCACUCGGCCUCCUCCUCGUCGUCGUCAUCGUCGUUGAGGGGGAGUCGGCCGCAGGACGAGCACGGGACGUCCACAUCGAUGCGGGCACGCUUUGGUGGCGGCGAGCAGCUGCGAUGAGCGGUGGCGUCCAUGCUCAAUGCAUGGGAAAACGCCGCUGGCGCAUGUCGGCGGGUGGCGGACGGCGGAGUGGUGGCCAGCUCACGCCCAUGGCCGCCGCCGGCCGAGCUCUCGGUACCGUCUACUAGCUCCUUGUCCUUGGCCAUGGUGGAGAGAAGCGGUAGAGCUCGAGAGAGAGCGAGAGGAAGAAUGUAGAUGAGAUCAAAGGAGACGAGAGAAUCGGUUUACUGCGAACACACAUAAGUAGUAGUGGGGAGAGGAAGCCGACGGGACUGAGAGAGUAGUGGGGAGAGGAAACUGACGGGACGAUCUCACGGUUAUUGAGAGUGAGUGGGAAACGUGCUGGGAUCGCCCUCACUAGGCCGCGCCGCCGCGCACGCCUGCUAUUGACGCCAGUUCCCUACAACUUCCCACGUACGCCAGUUUCCCAUGCAUUUCAAACUGCGCCGGUGACCGCAUUCAAAGCCCACCGAUCGCCGGAAAACCUCUCCCCUUCCCCUGUCACCAUCGCUAUUUAACCCGGCGCCAUGGCUCUGCUUCUUCUACACAGCUCUCCAUUCUUCUCCUUCUUCUACAUAGCUCUCCACUCCACUUCUUCAACCCGCCGCCCAACGCCCCAAGCAAUGGCGUUCGAAGGCCUCACCUUCAACCUGCCACCCCUCACUGAUGAGGCGUUGUUCCCACUUGGCGUGCGUGUGGAGCGGACGCUCCAGGUGUGGGCGAUGUCGCACAGCCGGAGCUCGAUGGCGCUGGUCAGGAACUUCCUCAACACCGGCUUCAGUCACCUGGAGGCCGGUGGCCCUUCAAUGUACCGCCUGGAGAGGCUCCACGAGCACGGCGUCAAAACUGCCCUCCUGGUGCACCUCACCAACAGCCAUGACGCCGAUUACCUCCUUGGCCGCGUGUAGUGGUGUGGAUGCGAGUUCAUCGCAUUCACGUUGUACAACGUGUACACCAACGCUACGACCACGUUCCCCCACGCGGGCGAGAUGUACGGCCUCCCGUACAUGGAGGAGGCGGAGGCGCCUGUGGAGGUGGCUGUCGAGGGGCCUGCGCCGCCUGUGGAGGAAUCUCAAGACGAAGCCGAGGAGUGAGCAAUCGAUCGACGUUUUUUUUCAAAAUUAUGUCAUUAAUGUAAGCCCUUGUUGGAAUAUAUGAACUAGGUUCUUUCUUUGAUGGUUGUGUUGUGCUAUGUCUGCGGCGUGACCGCGCGACAGCAGCGCAUCCUAGCGUCCGUUGCGCCGACUGAGAGCAUCCUAGUGGCGUGUCCUAGCGGCGCAUCCUUGCAUCCACGUCCCUGUCCCGGUCCUUGUCCUCGUGCUCGCGCCGAUCCCCACGCCGCAGCAUCCGUGGUCGCGGUAGCCAGAGUCAAGCUCGCUGAAGCCCGGCCCGGGGCACAGUCAGCAGUGUGCAUUGGUCCCACCCGUCAGGCUUAUAUCCGGUCCCACCCGUCAGCAGCUAACGGCUUGACCGAGUUGACCGUGAGGGCAAAAGCGAGCAUUUCCGCAAAGGAGGAGGGUAGAAGCGAGCAGUGUUCUAAGGCCUGGGCGAAACUGAGUAGAACUAAGGAACCGAGGGCACAGAAGUAAAAAACCCUAAAAAUAAAUACAACUAUGAAGAUCUAUGCUGACUAUGUUCUAAGGUACUUGGUUGCAGGUCUGGCUCUUUCGAUAUAUGGUCCUCAUCUUUUGCGAUGGUUGUUGCUUUGGUACGCUGUUUCUUUGGAUCCUUAGCACGACGACUAUCCCACCGUCUGCUACCACAAGCUCUCUUUUGGCAAGCUCUUCCCAGCUCCAGUGAUGGAGGGGCAAGAACGAUGGCUUGCCUUCGGCUCGUUAUAGUGUUUGUUGCCGUCGCUAAGUGGUCUAAGGACCUAUUUGUAGUUUUUAUUACUUUUAGCGUUUUUUGUACUGUUGUUGAUGAUUAUUAAUAGAUCUGUGAUCCACUUUGCAAAAGAAAAAUUUGAACGAGGGUUUUAUGUUACUUUUUUUAAUUAAAGUAUGAGAAUUUAUUUAUUUUUCUUAUUCUGUAUCAUAAAUAACAAGUACGGAGUACUACGAAAGAUAAGGAGAUCUUCAUCCGAUGGCUAGAAGUGACCUCUCAAAAGUAAAUAUUUCUAAGGACAUGUACAAUGGGGCUGAUUUAGGUGUCUAUAAGAGGUAGUUUUGCUGAGGUGGAAAAAGAGAUUAAAAAAAGAUAGCAGUCUGUCUGUAGUUCUGCAUACAAGCUAUAAACAGAUUAUUUACCAUUGUAUGUCUGCUGUCUAUAAUUUUUAGUAAAGAUUUUUUAGACAGCAUAUAGACAGACUAUUGUAUAUAGUAUCUGUAAGAUUGUCUGUAAAUCACAUGCAAAACACCGUAAAUGACUGGGUGUCUAUACCUUUAUACAUGCCAUAACUCGAUAUAACUUUCAAAUUUGUUCUUCCGCGUCCUCCAUUUAUUUAGGCAAUUUUCGGGCGUACAGAACGCUCUCGAUCGUGGAUAAAUGUGUGCUGAAGCUUUGCACGCACUAGACACCACCAUGGACCGACCUCUCUAUCUUCUCCCACUUACCGAUCAUGGGGCGGCAAAUAUCAUUGUACGUAAACCCGGAGUUCGACCACUCAUAGUUGAAGUGACUAUUUAUGUCACAGAUUUGGACUGCCAUGGGCUCUACUCUGUUCUAUUAUUCCCUGAACACUGUUGAUAACUUGAUCUUAAAGGGGUCAACUUUUUCUGUCUGUCGAAGUGGCCGGUAAGCAUGCAAUGGAGGCCCCAGCCAUAUAUGUGGUUGUCAAUCUCUUCAAGGUGCCAUUUAUUAUUACGGAAUUAUUUCUUCCACGAUUCCGUCGAGAAUGUACCAUAGGCUCUGAACUUCUGGAGUUUGCAAGUUAAAGGUGUGGUCCUUGUGUCGUGGACUCAUGUAGUGGGGUGAUAUAUUCCUGCAGCCGAGUGACAUGUCGUGGCAGUCGUGCCAGUUGCACUUCACCAGUUCCUAGCUAGCAAUGAAUCUUUGCUGUACGUAGUGCUGCAAAACGUAACGGCCGUCUUCUUUUAAAAUUGCAUUUUGUAUUAUUGUUUCCAUUGAUUGCAAGGUGAUAUGGUGCUGUUUUCUUGAUCAGAUAUGGUCGAUUAUAUAUGGGACAUGACAACGAUUUCAUCACGUAUCCAUGUUUGGAUUCCAAACAUGGACACAGGUUGGCAAUAUUGUAGAGCUAGGAAGAAAUGACCAGGUCCGCAACACGUAUAUAUUUGUCGCAUGCGUAUAGUCACUAGCGGGACGCGCAAGAAUGAUACACAUGUGGUGUUACGAGACUAAGACAACAGGAAAAUGAAAUUGGAUCAGACGUCCUCUGCAUAUCGAUCCCACUGGGCCGCGAAGGGGCCUGAACCGCCCCGUGCGUACCUACAUCUAUAAUAACCAACGAUCUUAAUUUGAAGCAUGCACGCACGAAGGCUGAUCGAUGAUGCACAUGCACGUAUUACGUGCUUCUAUUUCCACGGGAAGCACUACUCCCAUGCCGCCACGGUAACUCUGCGUGCAUGCGAGCUUUUUUCUCACACACGAACCAUGACCAAAAGGAAAGAGCGGUUGCAGAAUCGUGGGCCAUGCACACAUUGUCAAGUGGCGGUCGAGCUGUUUUGUGUAUAUAUACGUGGCCGCCUGUGUAAAGACCAAACUCAUCAAGCUCGCACCUUCACCGGCCGCGCGCGUUCUUGCUCGUCUCGGGAGAAAGAUUCGUGCUAGGUCGACUCCGGCCCCUCUUCGAAAGGGUUGGGGUUCUUUUCAUCGUUGUGUGGCCAUCAGCAUCCCUAGCUAGCUCAUCCAGAUCGAGGUAAGAUCACUGUGAGUCUAGCUCCAUGAUUGCCUCCUUUACGUACGUGCGUGUGUGUGACCGAUCUUGUGAUGGAUACAGGGAAUCACCCCAUCUUCCGCCUGUCUUUUUGCAGGAACUUGCAUCUCCCCUGGAUUGGACUUUGUUCUAGCAGGGACCAAAGCAUCGACCGAAGUCGAUCUGCACUGCGCGUCGCAAAGUAGAGGUAGGCGGAGGUCAUGGGCCGGCCAAUGGCCACGGCAAUGCUCCCAGUCCCAAUCUUUCUGUCCAUUUACGCCUAUAUAUCUGCGCAUUCUACCUGCGGCUGAACUUCGAAUCCAAUUAUUGCAGGAGAAAAAGAUGGCCACUCGCGUCGGAAAUGCAGUAGUCUUUGCUCUGCUCCUGUGUGCUCGCUUCCUCACCGCCCUUGCAUGCGACAACAGUACGUUUUUUUUAUAAUCUCACUACCUUGCAUUCCCGGCUAUCUUUCAUGUUGUUUGAUGUGUGAUAUGUCCAUUAAUUCUCUUGUGCAAAUGGAGCAGAUGGCGCCAAGUUUGGGUACACGGGUUCUCUCGGACCCAGCCACUGGGGAGGAUUGAGCCCCAACUUCAGCCGUUGCGCAGAUGGAAACAAGCAGUCCCCGAUCAACAUCAGGACCGACGAGGUGGUUUACAGCCCGUCGUUGGGGCCUCUUCGCAGGGAUUACGCCGCUGCCAAUGCCACCCUCGUCGACAACAUCUUCAACAUCGCGGUAAUUAUAUUAUGUUUUUGAGUACUCUGUGUUUUUCCUGACUCACCAGAUGACGGUUAAUUGAUCACCUUUUGCGUAGAUCGAACGGUUCGUUUCAUUCCUGUUUCAUCUUAUUACUACUGCAUGUACAGAUUCACAGUAUAUCCCAGCGAUUCUGAUGUCUUUUGUGUUCUUGAUGUAUUUGUAGCUCCGAUACGAAGACACUGCCGGGACGGUGCAGAUCGAAGGGGUGAAGUACACGCUGAAGCAGAUGCACUGGCACUCUCCUUCGGAGCACACCAUCAACGGCCAGAGGUUCGCAAUGGAGCAACACAUGGUUCACUACAGCGACCAAGGCGACAUCGCUGUUGUGGCAAUCCUGUUCCGACUUGGCAGGCCAGAACCUUUUCUUAUGCAGGUAGUAAUUGAACCCUUAAUCCUUCUUCAUGUGCUUAGGCUAUUCAUUGCCCUUUUUGUGUGUGGCUAAUAUUUGGUCCUCUGUUCCUGAAUGUAUGUAUGGCAGAUACAGGAUAAGCUAUCUGAGCUGUAUGUGGAGGCCUGCAGUGCAGAGAAAGGCGCUCCGAUCCCCGCCGGAGUCGUGAGCCUGUGGUCGCUGCGGCGGCGCGCCAACAUGUACUACCGGUACGUCGGGUCGCUGACAACGCCGCCGUGCACCGAGAACAUCGUCUGGACCAUCCUAGGCAGGGUACGUAUAUAUAUCCUGAUCUCCAAUGAAGUCUGAAUUUUACGGAGAUGUUGUAGACUGAAGACCGACCGUACAUUAAUUGCAGGUGAGGGAGAUGUCGAUGGAGCAGGCUGCCGCGCUGAUCGCCCCGCUGGAGGAAGGUUACCGGCGCAACAACAGGCCGACGCAGCAGCUCAACGGCCGCACCGUGCAGCUCUACAACAGGUUCUGGAAGAACAAGAACAAGAACAGGUCGCCGUGAGCCUGCCUGCUGACCCGGCCGCGUCGAUCUUCGGAGAUGAUGAAUCAGCGCGUCUUUGGGUUUUCGGUUCAUCACAAGUUAUGCUAGUGUUUCUGCAAGUUGGGUUAGCUUCUAGGUUUGGAGUGUCACUUGUUGAUGUAAGGCCUAGUCUGAAGUUGGAAAUUAGCUAAAUGUAAGGCCUUUGGUGAUGUGAUCUUCCUUUUGUGUAGGACAAUAUAGGAGUUCCUUAGUUAGUUAUGCUAAUCAACAAAUCAACAAGUUGUGCACUUUACGAGCUAGUUAUCUUACCGAACGUUAUCUUACUACUCGUACUCCUAGUUUUUUUUUGAAACAAUUACUAUUUAUCUUACCGGACCUUAUCUUACUAGUUAUAUGUACCGAACCUUAUCUUACUAGUUAUAUGUACCUUCCAGCCUUCCAGCAUUGGACAUGGCCUAAUUAAGAACGACCUCUGCUCUUAUCGUCUGUUUCACCGGAAUGUAGUCCUGCAAACACGUGAGCAUGGAGACGACUGCUGUACUCUUUCCCUUCCAUAUCGUGUCCUAUUUUUGUGCCUCUUGUGGUGCCGAAUGCAUGGGUUCUACCUUUCGUUGUUGUGCAUCAAACCGUCAAAUCGAGCCUCCAACCACCAACAGGCGCCGCAAGGAUGACAUGAACUCGACCUUGUUGGUGAUUCCGCUCAUUGUCCAUCGUGCUACUAGAGUUGAAAGGUUCUUCGACAAGUCUAGCGAGAUUGUUAUGCCGAUGCUCUUCGGGAUAGGUGCGUCUCUCCUCAAUCCCUUGCAGCCAAAUCAUCUCCGGUACAUCAUGAAUACCCUCAUUCAAUUUUGAUCUUCGGUCAAUAAACCUUUUGUGCACGAAAAAUCGUUGUAGGUUAUCAGCGCCAACCAUCCAUUGUUGCCCUCCUCCGGAAAGAAGUCCAUAUUUCACCCCCCCUCCUCCUCUCACCAAUUUUUUUUUAAUGUCUUUGGCCACAUUAUCCUGAAAUCUGAUUCGGUCUAUUUUGAACCUUGAAAUCCAUAAAAACUAGAUAAAUCAUCAAGUAAGGGGUUUUAGUGCUUACGUGGCCAAUUUAUGAUGGUUUUAUGGUUGAUUAGAAUUUUUUACCUCACUUACUGAAUUGAUGAUGUGUGCAGUGGCAAUUACAAGUCUCACUACCACCCUACUACCCUAUACGCAAUUACCCUUGUCUCCUCUCUCCUCCUCGAAUGCCGCUGCCACCAUUUUUUUCACUUACCACUGCCCAUUGCUCUGGCCGCCGCCACCGCCUCCUCUAUCCACCCUACCUCGACCGUCUCUCCUCUCCCCCACGAAAUUGCUUCCUCCAUUUGUGUAACGGACACGAAUACGACAAGCGCUCUAUGUAACCGUCAAUGCCACGUCAUCAAAUCAAAAAGUAUAGUCAAAUUUCCUAAUCAGCCAUAAAACCGUUCCAAAUCGGCCAUGUCAGCACCAAAACCAUUUAAUAGGGUGACUUAUCUGGUUUUGUUGAUUUUAACAAAGUAGAGUUCAAUGGUCAUGCGACUGAAGACAUAUAUUUGGGGGUGAUUUUUUCAGAGAGAUUUGGGGGUGAAUUAUGAACUCUCUUUAACAUCUGGGCUGCAUUUUUCAUUUUUUUUUACAUUUUUUUAGAAUUAUUUUUUACAUGGGCUUAUUCCAGUCUAAUGAAAAAAUAGCCCUCCGGCUCCGGGCUCCGGCCUGACAGGGCGGAAAAAAUGCUGCCGCGCCGAAUUCAGAACAGGGAUAGCAGCGGAACCGAAAUUCCACCUGCCUGCUCCGAAUCCAACGAAUCACCGCCUUGAUGGUCACCUGCCGCCGGGAAGGGAGUUGAUGGUGAAGGAUUUUACGAGAGAUCCCAACUUCACCAUCGCUCCAAUCCAAUCGCCACCACUGCCAAAGACCGAUUGGUCUCUGAUACCACUUUGUCAGACCCCAGAUCACAUAAUAGAACUAAAGUAACGAAUCAACACAGGGGAAUGAGUAGGGGCGCCUCUUACGGAUGAACCCUAGAGCGAAGCUCUUUAGCGAGUAUAAUGUAUAUUGUUUUAAGCAAAGCUUGGAGAAUAAGAUGAUAACUUUACAGGGCACUAGGCCGGCCAACUAUAUAGGCAAACUCUUACUGCAGUAAAAGCAAGAGAGAACGAAGUGAACGAUUGCCGGAACUGGAAACAGUAAAGGUAACUUUGUAGGAGAUAAUCGCUUUGCACUGUAGCUUCUGAAUAAUAAGGCAGUGUUGAAUUCUUCAGUAGUACAGGACCUGACAAUUCCCCCUUCUAGAGAGACUCCUUGUCCUCAAGGAAUAUGUUGCGGAGCAAACCAUUUUUCCACAGUAAUGCGAAAGAAGUCAGGGAAAACUUCUUUGAUGAAAUCUGCAUCCUCAGUAAUGUGGCAUCUUCAAGAGAGAAAUUUUCCCAUUGAAUGAACCAUUGAGCCACGGCGACAUUGUUACGAGGGACUUGACGAACAUUCAGAGCAAGUGCUGGUUUUGUGCGAAAUGUGCCAUCAGCGCUUACUAGAGGCAGGUCAGGACUGGGAACCACUUUGGAACCAAGAUGUUCUUGAGCUGGCUCACAUGAAACACCGGAGGGAUCUUUACUCCCUCAGGUAAUAAUAGCUUCUAAGAUACUUGCCCCACUUUGUGCAGUACUCGGAAUGGACCAUAGAACUUGCUGUGAAGUUUCAGAGGGCCACGAAAACCAAAAGCAGCCAGACGAUAAGGUUCCAUUUUCAGGUAUACCAUAUCACCAUCAGAGAAUUCUCUUUCAACUCUGUUCAAAUCAGCGUACUUCUUCAUCCUGGCUUGAGCGUGAGCAAGAUUCAGUUUCAGUUGGUCCAACAUAGCUUGUUUGGCUGUUAAGAAUUCUUGAGCAUCAAGAUCAGCAGGCCCAGGGACUGAAAGCUCACUGAUGAGAGGAGGAGGAAACCCAUACAUAGCUUGGAAUGGGGAAAUCUGCAAGGAAGUAUGAAAAGCAGUGUUGUACCAGAAUUCUGCAAGUGAUAACCAUUCAGUCCAUUUGGUGGGGGCAUGGAAUGUCAUACAUCUAAGGUAAUUUUCAAGACAUUGGUUGACCCGUUCUGUUUGUCCAUCAGAUUGGGGAUGAUAUGCAGAGCUGUAUCUUAACUCCACUUUCAUUGCUUUGAAAAGCUCCUUCCACAUAUUACUUGUAAAGAUUCUAUCUCUAUCCGAGAUAAUAGCUAGAGGAGGUCCAUGCAGUUUAAGAACAUUGUCAAUGAAAGCCUGAGCUACAGAUUUGACAGUAUAUGGAUGGGACAAGGGAAUGAAAUGAGCAUAUUUUGUUAGUCUAUCAACCACUACCAAUAUAACGUCUUUACCAUGGGAUUUGGGUAGGCCCUCAAUGAAAUCCAUUGAAAUAUGUGUCCAAGCCAUGUCAGGAAUUGGUAAGGGAUCAAGAAGACCGGGAUAAUGGCAAUGCUCAUGUUUAGAUCGUUGACACACUGGACAAGAAGCUGUCCAAGAGGCGACAUCUUGUUUCAUCCCAGGCCAAUAAAAUAACUUUUUCAGUCUAUGAUAUGUGGCUCGCAUGCCAGAAUGUCCCCCAACUGCAGAAGAGUGUAAAGAGGUGAAUAAGUGUUGUCUCAAGGUUGUGUUGUUGCCUACCAUGAUUCUGCCCUUGUAUCGUAAAACUCCAGAAUGAACAGAGUGUGGACAUUGGGCAUCAGGAGGUGAGAUCAACAAUUGUUCAAGGAGUUUCUGACAAUUAGAGUCCUGGAGGUAGCUAGCAGUAAUGUCUUUGAUCCAUUUAGGCGUAACUGUACUAAUUGCGAACAGAUUUGUAAAUUUCCUGGAAAGAGCAUCAGCUACUGUGUUUUCCUUUCCUUUUUUGUAUUCCACUUGAAAAUUGAAUUCCAAAAGCUUCAACAUGAGCGUGUGUUGAAUACCUUCAGCAAUUCGUUGCUCUGUGAUGUAUUUCAAACUUUGUCCGGAUGAUUAAUGUGUUUCCCAGAAAAUAAUGUUUCUGUCGUCGCUCGGUGCUCCGACGCCGGGGGCGUGCGGCCACGUCCCCCUUUUAGGUUCGGUAGGGGCGUCUGGGGCGGAGACCCGGUGAUCGCCGGCACGGCCGAUGAGGCCCUACGGGGCCGGUGAGACAAAGUGCUAAGGGUGCGCGCUAGUCCAAGAACAAGUGCACGCACGUUUUUUACCCAGGUUCGGGCCACCUGAAGGUGUAAAACCCUACGUCCUGCCUGUCUGAGCUGAUAUUGAUUAUGGAUCAAAUGUUUACAAGUUGCCGGGCAAGUUCCCGGAUUUCUUCUUAAUGUCUAAGGACUCCUUACUGCUCUCUGCUGGCUGUCUACUGGAGCCAACUGAUCCUCGAUCUAACGAGCUAGCGAAUGGAACUUGUGGAACUAAACAACUGUCCAACAAUGCCGAACCCCCUGACCGUUGGCAUGGGUCCUCCAUUUAUACAUAAGGGGAUGCCACAUGUGCCACGGUGCAUGGGCUACAAGUAUCCAGCGGGGAGGCAUGCAACUCCCCCCGAUGAGCUGGUGGCGUGCAUGAGUGCCAUCUCCGCUGCUAGGGGCCUAAGACCCUAGGGUAGGAUUAGACAACCACUGUUGCUUGGAUCGGACGGGUAAGUACCCGUCGGUCGGCUCGUUUACUGAGCCGCGUGCCUUGCUCUUUGCCUUGGUGCGACUGCGCGUCACGCGCCCGCCACGCGCCCGCGUGGCGCUGUCAACUGGGCCCCACGCCCGAGGCGGGGGCACGCGCCCGGGAACCCUCAGUCCCAGCAAGUCGACCUCGGGAAGCACCCGGGCCCAACGCACCCGGGAACCCCCUCCCGGGAAGCAGCUUCCCGGGAGGUGCCCAGGCGGGAAUAUUCCCUGAAGCCUGCUAGACCCUUUCGGGCUGCUAGCUUGCCGGGGAGCUCAUAGGCACUCCCUGGGAUGAGACCUUCCCGGGAACCCGGGAAAGGAGCCCACGCGUCGCGCAGCGGUGGUACCCUGGGUGCCACUGGCGCGACAGUAGCCCCCGGGCGUGGGCCGGCAUCACCUGUUCCCGGAAGGGUCUCCCCCUGGUCGGUUGCUGGGCUACGCCCUUAACCGACGCGUGGGCCCCGAUCAGUCGCGGGCCCGCGUCCCUUCGCUGCCCCGUGUACGGCGCCGUUACAAGCGGAGCAGUGGACCCGCGAUCUUCGCCCUAACUCCCCCCCUAAAUAGGGUAGUUAAGGCCACUCCGCGCAUUAUUCCUAGUGAUUAGGAGUUAUCCCCGCGCACCCGUAGGGUACGGAACCGGCCGUUACCAAACGGCCGGGCGUCAUAAAGCCUCUACUGUUGCCAAAAGGGGAACAACACUUUGCCCUUUCGCCUCCAUCCUCUUCCGCAUCUCGUAUCCCUGCGCCCCUGCCAGCUUCCGCCCUUGCUUUCCAUGGCGCCCCCCACCACCAGGAAGGGGAAGGACGCCCAGACUUCGAACAAGCCAGCGACGAGCAAGACCGAGGCGGCAAUCAAAGCGGCUGCCGCCAAGGACCAGAAGAGGCGGGAGAUGCGCGCCACAGUCGCCUUCUUCCGCCCCGGCUACAAUGGCGAGGCGCUGGGGAAGCUCAGGCACGCCGUCGCCUCCAGCUUUAACGAGCACGGGGAGACGCAGAUCUUCCCGGCGGGCACCGAGCACCAGGACAACGAUUUCCGGGUGUUCGCGCACUUCCUCCUCUGCAGCAUGUGGCCGCCCUUCUCUCUGUUCCUCCACGCACUGAUGGAGUCUUAUCAGUUGCGGGUGGCGCAGCUCCACCCCACCUCGCUGUUCCUCCUCGCCACCUUCCAGUUCCUCUGCGAGGCGUUCGUGGGGGUGAUGCCGUCGGUGGGGCUCUUCCGCCACUACUUCUACCCGCGCAUCGACAACGCGAAGGCGAUGUCUUCAAGGGUGGUCUUCCGCGCCUGCGACUAGAUGAAGUCCGAGUUCAUCGUCCGGUCGGGGAAGAAGAUUGAAAAAGAGUGGCGGGGCGAUUGGUGCUGGGUCCGGGUGGAGGACCCCCAGGAGUUCAUCCAGUCGUCGACGGAGAUGCCGGUACCCCAGAACGGCUAGCAGGACAGGUACCAUCGCGACGCCGACCUCCUCCCCAUUGUGGAGAAGAUCAAGGCGCUGCGGCUAGCGUGGCUCACCGAUGUUGACGUGGCACGCACCUUCGUCCAUCGGCGCAUAGCCCCGCUGCAGCUACGUUCCCGGCCCGCGUGGAUGUACACGGGCUCCGCGGACAGGACACGCCUCCAGGCGGACGGCAUGGACUUGGAGUCCCUCAGGACAUGGGUGAGGGGGAUCUCCGGCGAGAUCUUCCAAUCGACGGAGUCCCCGCCGGGGGUUUCUGCUCUCCACGCCGGCGUCAAGGCGCUCAGCGACAUUGUCGGCGCCUUCCCGCCCUGCAACGAGUGGGGGCUGAUGGACGUCACCCCCACCCGGGUCCCGCACGUUCCCCCGCAAGCACCCCGUGGGAAGCAGGUGCUCGAGGAAAGCGAGGGCGGGUCCGAGCCCAGCUGGCCCUCCCUCCGGUCGAUGGACGACGAGGCGGGCCAGGCGGCUGCGUCCCCGGAAGUUGUCGCCGUGGAGGACGACGACGAGGAAAGCAGCGUCAACGCGCCCUUGAUCGUGAGAAGAUCGAGGGCGUUCGCAGCGGCCGCAGCCAUCUCCUCAACGGCGACGUCUGCCCCGGCAGCGGCCACCAACCCGACGGCCGCCGCCGCUUUUGGGGCGCCCGUCGGUACCUCGACGGCAUCCGCGGCAACUGGGGCCGCGGGUGCCUCGGUGGUGGUCCCUGCCUUGGCGGCGGUCGCCAGCACCGCGGUGGGAACCGGUCCUGGGGUGCCUGCCGGUACCCCGGCAGCGCCAGCGCCUGCGGGGGUCACCGGCGCCCCGGCAACGGCCUUCGCCCCGGUGGCGUGGGCCUCCGCGAGUUUGGCUCCCGGCGCCGCGGCGGCCUCGCCGACGACACCCGGAGCCCUCCGGGUCUCGACAACGCCUCGGGCGCCCACGGCGCCGCCCACCCGUGGGGUCUUCCGGGGUUUCGCGCUCCGGCGCAACCCCCCGAAGUCCUCCUCGCCGGCGGGUGCCAGCAAGAGGGCGAGGAGCGAUUCCCCGCCUGGCACACCAAGCAAGAGGACGCGCGCUGACGCCGGCGGCGCGGCCGCCCCUGCGGCCGCGGGGGCCAGCAGCGGCACGGGUGUGUCCCUUGGCGACCCAGCUCCCACGGACGCAGGCCCGGCCCCGGGUAUGUGUUCGUUGAUUCUCUGCAACUGCAAUUUCUGUUAGCCAAACUCACGACCAUACCUUCUCCUUCUGUAGUGAGCGGCAACUCGCCCGCGACAAGCUUCUUGGACGCUCCCGCAGGCGCAGGCGUGGUAGGGGAGGCUGCCCCGGGAAGCCUGACAACCGCACAAGGUAACCGCCCCGGUCGCCCUUGUCCGCCUUCGAUAGCUCCAGCCGUCGCCGAUCCUCAUGCUUCUCAUUGCUGCAGGCACAGGUGCGCCCCUACUAGGAACGGGCGCACCCGUGGUCGACCCUGACUCGGCCGUCGAGGCCACGGGGGCGGAGGUUGAGUCGGAAACGGCUCUCACGUCCGGCCCCGCUGCGACGGACACAGCGGCAGCAGAGGACACCGUCACGCCGUGACGUCACCUGGCGACGCGCCCGAAGCCGCGGACGUGGCCGGCUCGGGCUCACCUGUCGUCCAACAGGGGGCAACCCCCGCCGGAGGUAGGGAGCCUUCUCCAACCCUGGGGUCUCUAAGCGCAGGCGCGGGCGAAGUUGCCGGGGAAGGACGGCAAGACCCUCGGGAGCAAGUUGGCGACCCCGCGCCUAGCUCCACUUCGGCAGCAGGGGCUUCAUGAUCCUCGGGGGCUCUCCCAGCACCGACCUCGGCACCCUCGCCGGGGUCGCUUGGAACCCCCUUGGGAUCCGAGCGUCUUUGAACGGGGGCACCGGUUCUUGGACGUCGUCCGGGACCAGCAAUUUGCCUUCGUCACCUCCUACAACGAGGUGAGGGAGCGCCACACCGCCGCCAAGAAUCAACUCGGCGAGGUGCGGGAGGCCGUGGAGAGAGAGCGGCGCGAACUCUCCCGGCUGCGCGAGGAGGCGCGCCUCGCCGAAGAGGAGGCACGGCUGGCCCGGCAAGCCCUAAAGGCCGCUCAGGAGCCGGUAGUCGCAAAGACCGAGCUCCGUCGGCAACUGGAGGUCCAGCGCGUGGAGCUCCAAGGAAGGCUCGACACGAUGCCGGCAACUCUCGAAACGGCCCGGAAGGAGCAUGCCGAGGUGCGCGCGACGGCCCAGACGCGGCUGGACGAGAAGAGUGAGCUGAUCGCCAAUUACCGCGGCAAAAUCCAAGGCCUCCGCGUCCUGCUGGAGGUCCAGGUCAAGGCUGCCGAGGAUGCGGCGAGAGCGGCGGCUCGGCACGAGGCCGAGCUCAACUCCGCGAAAGACAGAGCGGCCAGGCUCGAGGCCUAGUUGGCCGCCGUCCGGGAGGAGCUCGCCAAGGCCGGCGAGGCCAACGCGACCAAGGCCGCAGAGCUUGCGAAGCUGGAGGGCCGCGUCAGCAAGGCCAGGAGGGCCGCGCAAGAUGCCCGACUCCAUCAUGGCACGCUGAUCGGGGAGCGGCAGCUCGAGACGGAGAAGGUGACGAAGAUCGCCCAGUCGCUGCGCGACUUGCUGCCCAAGUUCGAGCUGCAGGCGGCGGAGGUGGACGGCACGGACGUCACGACGCUGAUCCCCUUCUUCUUCGACUUGGUGGGUAAGCUCGGGGCGCUCGAUGUCUGGAUCGCCAGGUAUGGCGCCAUCGAAGUCGCCAACUGCGCUCGGGAGGUUCCCGGGACAAUCCUCCCGCGGAUUCAUCUCCGGGAUCCGGAGUUUCCCUUCGAGCCCCUGCUGGACGCUUGGUCCGACAGCGAGGACGAGCCCACGCACACCCAAGCAGUGCGCGAGUUCGUUGACGAGGUCGUCGAGCGGAUGCAGAUGAAGCCGGAGCCUGAUCUCCCCGCCGACCCCCCGGCCGAAGACGGCGACAACUAGUUGCCGCAGCCCCCAGCCGCGCUCGUUGCUUCCACUGUACCUUCUUUUGUUUGCUUUCCCUGCAAGUAUGGCACUUAGUGCCGGUUGAACAAUCACCUUUUGAUUAGUCCGUGUAAUCAUUCGACACUUAGUCAAUCAAGCUUGUUAAUUUGUUCAAUUUUUUGUCCCUUAUUCCUGAGGCUGCCUCGCGGGGUGGUUCCCUUAGCCUUUGCGUGUUGCGCCUUGUGUUGCCGGGGACUCGCAUGCCCCACCCUUGACCAGACCAGGUACCCGGGACGGACCCGUGGUGCCGACCUGGGGCCAAGCCGUAGGCGGCGAGCCACUCCACUUGCGGGGUAACUACUCCAAGCCAUGCCCUCUCGGAACGGACCCGGGAGCCACACGGGGAGCGCACUCCCCCCGCAAGCGUCCUCCUCACACCUCGGCCACGCGCAGGUUCCGAGACCGCACUUGGUGAAGCAGCGUUAACUCUUAGUUAAGUAAAUUUUUCAACAAGUUCGUUGUUCCUGAUGCUGUCUAGUGGGGUGGCCCCUUUUAGCCUUUGCGUAUUUUGCCUUGUGUUGUGGGGGACUCGCGCGCGCCUCACCCUUGACCAGACCAGGGACCCGGGACGGACCCGUGGUGCCGACCUAGGGCCAAGCGGUAGCGGGGAGCCACUCCACUUGCGGGGUAACUACUCCAAGCCGUGCCCCUCCGGGACGGACCCACGAAGCCACACGGGGGGCGCAUUCCCCCCGCAAGCGUCCCUUUUAACACUCCAGCUACGCGCGGGAUCUGGGGCCGCACCCAGCGGGACAGUGCUCAGUUUCGUUCAGCUCUUAGCGAAUUCAGUGUUCACGUUCAGACACUUAGCUUUUCCGUUCGGUCCAAUGCUUCGUGACGCUCGGCGGUAGAUUGCAGGCGGGACACUGCCUUGGUAGGAACCCAACUUGGGUACCUGUUCAAGGGAAAUGAUCUCUGAGGGAUGCGGCAGGAGCGCGGGGGCAGGAUCGCCGCCAGCGGCAAUCGCCGACGAUGAUGCUACCACCACGCCCAGGCGGCAACCCUCGCCUUCAGGGACAGACCCUGGCCUUCAGGGAGGAACCCUGGCCUUCAGGAACGAACCCUGCCUUAGGAGGACUCCACCCCGGGAGCAGCCGCAAGACGGCUAUAACGUCCUCGCCGCUAGCUGCGCCCCACCCUGAAUGGCGGGCACGGGUGGCGAGGAAGUUAUAGCCUCCCAGCGAUAGCCCCCGCAACUGGUGAGACCUGGUUUUUUCUGGGGAACUCGUCCCAAGGGGUGUGACAGCCCUUGUUGCCCGGGAGCAAAACUGCUCGAGGGCCGCGGCGGGGAUGCGGUGAUGGGCCGGAACGGAGCGACGAGCGCCGGCACUGGCGUCAUCAUAGCGUCCUCGCAAUGACCUGCACCCGAAAAAGGCUCUCUCAAAGGGAAUGCGGCCGGGUCUCUAUGAUAGUGCACCCGUCGGCACAAGGAACGGAGGGCAUGCACUAUCAUAGAGUCUCCGCGGCAGCCCCUGCUCCUUGCGGAGGUGUCCUAUGGAGGGGGGCGACAAGGGCACUGUGGCAAUGCACCCUGUCAGCGCCGGACGGUGAUGGGAUGCACCAUCACAGUGCCUCUGCGGCGACCCUCGCCCAGGAGCCGCCCACUUGAGGAAGCGCGGCAGGGGCACAACGGCAGUGCACCCGUCGGCACAGGACGCCGAUGGCAUGCACUCCCAUCGUGCCUCUGUGGCGUCCCUCGGGGCGGGCUCGAUGGGGUGAUGCAGCAGGGGCGCAAUGGGAGCGCACCCGCCGGCGCUAGGCGCCGGCAGGAAGCACCACCUCCGUGCUUCCGUGGCACCACCCGCCUUAACGGCCCCGAACCCGGCUUCGCUCUGAGUCGUUCCAUGGUUGGGGCAUGCCUUUUAUAGGCGCGGGAGGAGGGUUUGCCACCGCGCGCGACAGACCCGCGCAGCACCGUGGCGCCCUUCCUUCGAACGCGGCGCAGUUUCCGCCGCCAUGUUUACCAGGCAAACGUGGCACACGUGGCGGCAACCUGUCAACUCAGAAGCCUCGGAGUGCGGUGAGCCCCUUGUGUUGCAGUCCUCCCCCACCACAAGGCACCGGUGUAUGGUGCGACCCGUGGGCAGCUCACGAGCACCAGAGUAUACAAGAUUUCACCCUUUCCUGCAGGUUAGACUCUUACCAGGCUCGAGGUGCUGCAUGUUGCGGGAAGCCCGUCAACGGCAGGUCCAGUGAUGCACGUUACGGGAAGGCCGUCAACGGCACGUCCAGUGAUGCACGUUGCGGGAAGCCCGCCAACGGCACGUCCAGUGAUGCACGUUGCGGGAAGCCCGCCAACGGCACGUCCAGUGAUGCACGUUGCGGGACGCCCACCAACGGCAUGUCCCGUGCCGGGACGACCCGGCAACAGGUUUACGUUUCGAGGCCACAACAGCGCCCUGCUCACAACCAAGUAUGGAAAGACACCUUUGUGCACAUAAAGCAGUAGACAAAAGAGGGAAAAACACGCGAAUAAACAAGGCAAAUCCAAAGCUUAGGGGCGAAACACUUAUCUUUAUUCAGGAUUAACUAGGGGUUUACACGCGGAGGCUGGCCGGUUACACUAGUUCGAGAGGUAUGCAUCGGAGGCAUCACCUGAGGGUCGGGCUCCGCCGCUUCACGGGUAGAACUUGCGCAAGUGCUCAAUAUUCCAGCUAUUGGGCACCGGCAAGCCGUCUUCGGUUUCCAGGCGGACAGCCCUCGGCCUGGUUACCUGCACUACCCGGAAGGGGCCCUACCACUUCGGAGUCAACUUGUUCCCGGCCUUCGUUCCUUGUAUCCGACGCAGGACAAGGUCUCCGUCCUCGAGCCCCCGGGGACGGACUCGUCUGUCGUGAUAACGACGGAGUCCUUGCUGGUAGCGCGCGGCUCGCACAGCAGCCCGGCAUCGAAGCUCUUCGAUGAAAUUUAGAUCGUCGACCCUUUGCUCGUGUUGGCUGGUGUCGCCGUAUGCGCAUACUCGGGGAGAUCCGUACUUGAGCUCGAGGCGCAGCACCGCUUCUGCCCCGUAGACAAGGGCGAAUGGAGUUUCGCCCGUUGCCCGACUAGGUGUGGUCCGAAUGGACCACAGCACGGGCUAGAGUUCUUCGAUCCAGUGCUUCCCGUGGCCUUUGAGCUUGUCAAAGGUUCUCGUCUUGAGCCCCCGCAGGACCUCUGCGUUGGCUCGCUCCGCCUGCCCGUGGCUUCUCGGGUGAGCGACGGACGCGAAGCGCAGCUUAGUGCCCAUGUCUUCGCAGUAGGCUUGAAACGCCGCGCUCGUGAAUUGCGUGCUGUUGUCGGUGAUAAUGCUGUUAGGAACACCAAACCGGCACACAAUGCCCUUGAAGAACUUGAUGGCCGCCUGGGCGGUCACCUUCCGCACUGGUUCCACCUCCACCCAUUUGGAGAACUUGUCGAUGGCCACGAACAAGUAUUCGUAACCGCCAACCGCCCUUGGUAGCUUGCCGACGAUGUCCAGCCCCCAGACCGCGAACGGCCAUGAGGACGGGAUGACAUGCAGGGCCUGCGCUGGUUGGUUGCUCUUCUUUGAGUGGAACCGGCAUGCCUCGCACGUCUUCACAAGCCGCUCCGCAUCGGCCGGCUAGAGCCUGGGAGGCCACAUGGUGUGAACAUGUGCCUCGAUGUAUGUCUUCCAGCAGUGCGCACCCUUUUUCCUGCGGCACACAGAUGAGUUUGACGCCGUUCGCACGCCUGCGGUAGAUGUUACCAUCUACCCCAGUGUACAUCUUGGCUUGCCGCGCUACACGCUCCGCGGCAACGUCAUCUUCCGGGAGAGCCUUCCCUUUCAAAUAGUGGGAGAGCCUUCCGCUGUGUUGUUGGUGGAGUUAGCGAAGUCGAGUUGGACAGCGAACCUCAACCGGUCCCCUGUUGGUGACUCGAUGAUGACCCUGGCGCCUACUCCCUGAAGACUGAAGACCUAGUGGUCCCCGUCCAGCUUGCCGGGCAGGCUGGUCUCCGACUCACCUUCUUCCACGCCCGUGGACGUCCAUUCUGCGACGAAGUCCUCCAGGGCCGUGCUCUUGAUGCUUUUGGAGUUGGCGAAGUGGAGGUCGAACUCCGACAACUCCAUCCUCCAUUCGGCCACCCUUCCGGUGGCUUCACCGUUAGUGAGGGCUCGCUCAAGGCAGAACCCGGACACCACCGUGAUACGGUGCGCCUGGAAGUAGUGGCGCAACUUGCGGGACGCAAAGAGAAUCCCCAGAAGGAGCUUCCGUACUUGCGGGUACCUUGUCCGCGCGUCGUGUAGCAUCGUACUAACAAAGUACAUCGGGUGCUGCACCAACCGCUUCCGCGGUGCCGAGGUUGCCGGCUUGGUGGCGGUCCCCGGGUCUGAGGCGGUUGCCGGGGGCCGCUCAGCCCCCUGCCCCGCCGCCCCAGUCCCCGGGACGUGUUCCUCCCUCUCGGCAACCAGCACCGAGCUGACCACCUGGUCAGUCGCCGUUAGGUAGAGUAGCAGCGGCUCGCCCAUCUUGGGGACGACGAGGAUGAGCGGCGACCUCAGGUACUGCUUGAGUUCCUGGAACGCUGCCUCGGCCUCGGGAGUCCAGUCGACUGGACCCUUCUUCUUCAUCACCCUGAAGAAAGGCAAGGCACGCUCGCCCAGCCUGGAGAUGAAACGUCCCAACGCGGCAACACAGCCGUUGAGGCGCUGGACAUCUUUCACCUUGUGGGGGCCUCCAUCUUCUCGAUGGCUUCUAUCUUGGUCGGGUUGGCUUGUAUCCCCCUGUGUGAAACCAAGAAACCCAGAAGCUGCCCGAAGUUGACACCGAAGGUGCACUUAUCAGGGUUCAGCUUGAGCUUGAUCCUGCGGAGGUUGUCGAACGUCUCCUGCAGGUCAUCAACCAGCGAGUCCCCACGCUUCGAUUUGAUGACGAUGUCGUCCAUGUAGGUCUCCGCGUUACAGCCUAGCUGGGGCCCCAAACAUUCGCGCAGGGCGCGCUGGAAUGUGGAGCCCGCGUUCUUCAACCCGAAAGGCAUGCAUGUAUAGCAAUAGCAGCCAACCGGGGUGAUAAACGCUGUCUUUUCCUCAUCCUUGACCGCCAUCUUGAUUUGAUGGUAGCCGGAGAAAGUAUCCAGAAAACUCAGCAAGUCACAACCAGCGGUAGAUCGGUAAAAUCUACGCACAUGCGAAGCUUAUUCCCUACUUUAGGCACUACUAUAGGGUUAGCCAGCCAAGUGGGUUACAAAACUUCCCUGAUCGCCCCGGCAGCCCUGAGCUUGCUCACCUCUUGUUUGAUGAAAUCUUUCCGCUCUUGUGCUUGCCGCCGGAUUUUCUGCUUGACGGGGUGUGCAUCCGGGCGCACCGCGAGCUGAUGCUCAAUCACCUCCCUGGGGACUCCGGGAAGGUCCGACUUUUGCCAGGCGAACACGUCAGCGUUAUCCCGGAGGAAGGUGACGAGGGCACUUUCCUAUUCGGCGGUCAGGUUCGCACCGACGGUAACGGUGCGCUCCUUGUCGCCGGCUUUGAGGGGUAGCUUCUUCACUUUGGCAGCCUCCUCCCGGAGCCCCUGCCCCUUGCCGGGGCGUGAGCCCGAGCUUGCGCCUGCCCCGGCACGCCUUUGCGGGGUAGUGCGGGCCUUCUUCGUUGCCGGGGCAUCACCCGGCAAGCCGUCGUCCUCGACAACAUCCUCGUCGCCGGCUUCAGCUGCAGCAGCGGCCCGAACAACCUCGCCAACGCACUAAGCCGCAUCUUUGAGGUCACACCGGAUGGAGAGGACCCCAUAGACGGACGGCAUCUUCAUCACGCCAUAGGCGCAAUGUGUGGCCGCCAUGACCUUGAUCAGCGCUGGCCGACCAAGGAUCCCGUUGUAGGGCAACGGGGUAUGCACCACGUCGAACACUAUGUGCUCGGUCCUGAACGCUUCCCGGGAGCCGAAGGUGACCGGCAGCGUGAUGCGUCCCAGCGGGCGCACGAUCCCGGGGUUCACCCCCCGGAAUGGUUCGGUGGGCUUCAGCUGCUCCAUCGGCACCUGGAGCUUUUCCACGAGCCUGGCGGACAGGAGGUUAAGCCCCGCUCCGUUAUCCACCAGCACCUUGGUCACCGUCAUAUUGCUAAUGAUCGGCGAGACGACGAAGGGUAUUACCCCGGAACCCAGCUGUCGUGCUGGGUGAUCGUCGGCGCUGAAGGUGAUCGGCACGUGCGACCACCUCAGGGGCUAUUGCGGCUCCGCGUCCGGCAACAGCGCGCACACGUCGCGGAUGAGGCGCUUCACCGCGGCGUGGGAUCGGAGAGCGUAAGCUCCCCCAUGGAUGUAGGCGACGCCAUGAGGCUCCUGAAAGCCCAGUUCGUCGCCGCCGGUAUAGUCGGACUCGCGCUGCUCCUCAGCGCGCGCCCUGUCGCGUGCCUGAGGAGGGCGUUUCCGCCCAGCGCGGGGCUGACCGUGCCCCCCUUGGGGUUCACCCCUGCCGGCGCUACCGCCGGCGCCUCGGACCCGCUCCGGGAUCGCUCGGGCAAUCUCGGGAGAGAUUCCCGAUGUCGCCACAAUUAAAGUAGGCGCCGGCGGCAUGGUGCUCCUUGUGGCGCUGCUCCCGCCACUGCUUGAUCCCCUACAGAACGCGGCAAUUCUGUGCGUCAUGGGUGGAGUUGCUAUGGAUGGGGCAGCGGGGCGCGUCGCCCUGCUUCCUGCCAGACUCUCCACCCGGCGAGGCCUUCUUAGCGGGCCUCCCGGCAGGUGCCCCCGAGUCCGCAGCGAGGACUUGUUUCCCGCUGCGCUUGCGGGAACCCUUCUUCUGCGAGCCCUCGCCAGGGCUCGCGGCAGCCUGGGCGCUAGGCGCCCUUCCUCGGCCAUGGCGCAUUUGUGCGCCAGGGCAUACAAGUCCUGCGUCGUCCGGAUCCGAUGCGUGCUCAGCUUCUCGCACAUCUUGGGAUCGCGGACGUUGAUAGCGAAGGUGUUGAUAAUGGCGGCCGCCUCCGCCUCCGGGAUGGAAUAGGAGAGGUUGGAAAAGCGGUUGACAAAGGCCCGCAGCAUCUCUCCCGGUUUUUGCACGAUAGUGUGCAGCUCCGCCAUGGUUCCCGGGCGCUUAUAGCCGCCCUGUAACGCGCUCACAAACUGCUCACGCAGGUCCGCCCAAGUGGCAAUAGACCCGGUAGGCAGGUUGAGCAACCAGGUUCGCGCUGAUCCUUUCAGGACCAUCGGGAACCUGUUUGCCCUGACCUUGUCGUCGGCGCCGAUGGCAUGCAUGCCCAGCGUGUAGGUCAGGAGGAAAUCCUUGGGGUUGGCGGUCCCCUCGUACCGUACCGAGCGCAGGCGCUCGAAACUUACGGGGCCACGUCACCCGCCGCAGCUCGCGAGUGAACGCGGUGUAGCCGUCCUCGGGGCCCAUGGGAGCGUCUUCCUGCUCCUGUGGGCGCUGGCGCUCCACCUCGCGCCUGCGCCGACGCUCCAAGCGCUGGUGCAGAUCCUCCUGCUGGCGGGCAUUCAAGAUGCCACGCGCAUCGCCCCCCGGAACGGUGGGCGGUGAAUUCGAGAACCCCUCCAGGCCCCCGUCUCCUGGGCCUCGCUGAGGAGGGGGAGGGUUCUCCCCCUGUCGUGAGGCGGGUGGCGCGUCUCCGCGCUCCGGGUUCUCCCCGUGGCCGGAGCCUACCGGGGCACCCUCGCCUUGCGGCUGCUGGGCGGUCAGGGCGAGAAGCGUUUCCACCUCCUCGCCCCACGUCUCGUGUGCCGGCGUGCCUUGCUGCGGCUCGUACCGCACCAUGACAUGCGCGGUGAUGAUGGCUUCAGCCGGGGUCCGGACGAGGGGCACCCGGUUUCCCGAACGGCUGCUUCCCGCUCUGGUCCCGGACGCCUCCGGGUGUGCAGGGUGUGAACCCCCGGGGGUUGCCCGUGACGCGGCGUGCUCCUGGUGCCGCUGCCGCGGGGCGUCCUCGGCCCGCGACUCAACCUGCUAGCUAGCCCGGGCGACGCCGUGCGUGCUCGCCCGAUCGCCCCCGGCACUAGGGGCAGCCGGUCCCCUCGGCCGAUUGUCGGUCGAUGGCCGAGGAGGCGGCGGGGGCAGCUGCGUUUGCUGCACCCUCAAGGGCUCAGGGUUCUCCUGAGCCCCCGACUCGGGUCGCACGUCGUGCGACCGCGUGUGCGCCGCUGGGGCCUCACGCGGGUCUAUGCGUGAGUCACCAGCCCGCUUGGGGGACAUGGUGACUAGACUCGUCGGCGAAGAAGAGCGGAGCCGACGCCAAUGGAAACUCUACUGCCGGCGAUCUCCGGCGUUGUCCACUCCCACGCCCCUUACCUGGCGCGCCAGAUGUCGUCGCUCGGUGCUCCAACCCCGGGGGCGUGCGGCCACGUCCCCCUUUUAGGUUCGGUAGGGGCGUGGCCGCACGCCCCGGUGUCGGAGCACCGUGCGACGACAUCUGGCGCACCAGGUAGGGGGCGCGGGAGUAGAGCUCCUCGGUAGCCGCCGGCAGCGGCAUCAGCAUCAACGUCGGCCUCGCUUUUUUCACUGAUGGGACUAGUCGCCAUGCCGCCCAAGCGGGCUGGUGAUCCACGGAUAGACUCACGUGAAGCCCCAGCGGCACACACGCGGUCGCACGACGUGCGGCCCGAGUCGGGGGCUCAGGAGAAUCCCAAACCCUCGAGAGUGCAGCAACCACAGCUGCCUCCCCUGCCUCCUCGGCCGUCUGCGGACAAUCGGCCGAGCGGACCGGCUGCCCCCAGUGCCGGGGCCAGUCGCGCAAGCCGGCAUGGUGCCGCCCGCGCCGGCUAGCAAGUUGAGUCGCGGGCCGAGGAUGCUCCGCGGCAGCGGCACCAGGAGCACACCGCGUCGCGGGCAACCCCUAAGGGUUCACACCCUGCGCAUCCGGAGGCGUCCGGGGCCAGGGCGGGAAGCAGCCGUUCGGGAAACCGGCUGCCCCCCGUGCGAACCCCGGCGGAAGCCAUCGUCGCGGCGCGCGUCAUGGUGCGGUACGAGCCGCAGAAGGGCACGCCGGCGCAUGAGACGUGGGGCGAGGAGCUGGAAGCGCUUCUCGCCCUGGCCGCCCAGCAGCCGCAAGGCGAAGGCGCCCCGGUAGGCUCCGGCCACGGGCAGAACACGGAGCGCGGAGACGCGCCACCCGCCUCACGACAGGGGGAGAACCCUCCCCCUCCUCAGGGAGGCCAAGGAGACAGGGGCCCGGAGGGGUCCUCAAACUCAUCGCCCACCAUUCCAGAGGGCGACGCGUGUGGCCUCUUGAAUGCCCGCAAGCAGGAGGAUUUGCGCCCACGCUUGGAGCCGGCGCAGGUGUGAGGUAGAGCGCCAGCGCCCACAGGAGCAGGAAGACGCUCCCAUGGGCCCCGAGGACAGUUGCACCGCGUUCGCAUGCGAGCUGCGGCGGGUGACGUGGCCUCGCAAGUUCCGGGCACCCGCACUCGAUACGUACGACGGGACCGCCAACCCCAAGGAUUUCCUCCUGACCUACACGCUGGGCAUGCAUGCCAUCGGCGCCGACGACAAGGUCAGGGCAAACAGGUUCCCGAUGGUCCUGAAAGGAUCAGCGCGAACCUGGUUGCUCAACCUGCCUACCGGGUCCAUUGCCACUUGGGCGGACCUGCGCGAGCAGUUUGUGAGCGCGUUCCAGGGCGGCUAUAAACGCCCGGGAACCAUGGCGGAGCUGCACACUAUUGUGCAGAGGCCGGGAGAGACGUUGCCAGCCUUCGUCAACCGUUUAUCUAACCUCUCCUAUUCCAUCCCAGAGGCGGAGGCGGCCGCCAUCAUCAACACCUUCGCCAUCAACGUCCGCGAUCCCAAGAUGCGCGAGAAGCUGAGCACGCAUUGGAUCCGGACGACGCAGGACUUGUACGCCCUGGCGUACAAAUACGCCAUGGCCGAGGAAGGGCGCCUAGUGCCCGAGCUGGCAGCCAAGGCAGCCGCGAGCCCUGGCGAGGGCUCGCCGAAGAAGGGUUCCCGCAAGCGCAGCAGGAAGCAAGUCCUCGCUGCGGACUCGGGGGCUCCUGCCGCGAGGCCCGCAAAGAAGGCCUUGCCAAGUGGUGGGUCUGGCGGGAAGCAGGGCGACGCGUCCUGCUGCCCCAUCCACAGCAACUCCACCCUUGACGCGCAGAACUGCCGCGUUCUGCAGGGGAUCAAGCAGCGGCGGGAGUAGCGCCAUGAGGAGCGUCGUGCCGCCGGCACCUGCUUCAACUGCGGCAACAUCGGGCAUCUCUCCGGAGACUGCCUGAACGACCCCAGAGCAGGGCCGAGGCCGGCCGGCGGUGGUGCCGGCAGGGAUGAACCCCAAGUGGGGCGCGGUCAGCCCCGCGCCGACUGGGAACGCCCUCCCCAGGUCGCGACAGGGCACGCGCUGAGGGGCAGCGCGAGUUCGACUGUAUUGGCGGCGACGAGCCGGGCUUCCAGGAGCCUUGCAGCGUCGCCUGCAUCCAUGAUGGAGCUUACGCUCUCCCAUCCCACGCCGCGGUGAAGCGCCUCACCCGCGACGUGUGCACGCUGUUGCCGGACGCGGAGCCGCAACAGCCGCUGAGGUUGUCGCACGCGCCGAUCACCUUCAGCGCCGACGAUCACCCAGCACGAUAGUUGGGUUCAGUCCGGAUGCGCACCCCGUCAAGCAGAAGAUCCGGCGGCAAGCACAAGAGCAUAAGGAUUUCAUCAAGCAAGAGGUGGACAAGCUCAAGGUUACCGGGGCAAUCAGGGAAGUUCUGUACCCUACUUGGCUGGCUAACCCUGUAGUAGUGCCUAAAGCAGGGAAUAAGCUUCGCAUGUGUGUAGAUUUUACUAAUUUUAAUCGCGCAUGCCCCAAGGAUCCCUUCCCUGUACCCCGUAUCGAUCAAAUAGUCGAUUCUACCGCUGGUUGCGACUUGCUGAGUUUUCUGGACGCUUUUUCCGGCUAUCAUCAAAUCAAGAUGGCGGUCGAGGAUGAGGAAAAGACAGGGUUUAUCACCCCGGUUGGCUGUUAUUGUUAUACAUGCAUGCCUUUCGGGUUGAAGAACGCGGGCUCCAUGUUUCAGCGCGCCCUGCGUGAAUGUUUGGGACCUACAUGGAGCACAUUGUCAUCAAAUCGAAGCAUGGAGACUCGCUGAUUGAUGACCUGCGGAAGACGUUCGACAACCUCCGCAGGAUCAAGCUGAAGCUGAACCCCGAUAAGUGCACCUUUGGUGUUAACUCCGGGCAGCUUCUGGGCUUCUUGGUUUCGCACAGGGGUAUACAGGCCAACCCGACCAAGAUAGGCCCCCCCGCAAGGUGAAGGACGUCCAGCGCCUCAACGGCUGUGUCGCCGCGCUGGGACGUUUCAUCUCCAGGCUGGGCGAGCAUGCCCUACCCUUCUUCAAGGUGAUGAAGAAGAAGGGUCCAGUCGACUGGACUCCUGAGGCCGAGGCGGCGUUCCGGGAACUCAAGCAGUACCUGAGGUCGCCGCUCAUCCUCGUCGUCCCCAAGAUGGGCGAGCCGAUGCUACUCUACCUAGCGGCGACUGACCAGGUGGUCAGCUCGGUGCUGGUUGCCGAGAGGGAGGAGGACGUCCCGGGGACUGGGGCUGCGGGGCAGGGGGCUGAGCGGCCCCCGGCAACCGCCUCAGACCCGGGGACCGCCACCAAGCCAGCAACCUCGGCACCGCGGAAGCGGUUGGUGCAGCACCCGAUGUACUUCGUUAGUACGGUGCUACGCGACGCGCGGACAAGGUACCCUCAAGUACGGAAGCUCCUUCUGGGGAUUCUCCUUACGUCCCGCAAGUUGCGCCACUACUUCCAGGCGCACCGUAUCACGGUGGUGUCCGGGUUCUGCCUUGAGCGAGCCCUCACGAACCGUGAAGCCACCGGAAGGGUGGCCGAAUAGAGGAUGGAGUUGUCGGAGUUCGACCUCCACUUCGCCAACUCCAAAAGCAUCAAGAGCACGGCCCUGGCGGACUUCGUCGCAGAAUGGACGUCCACGGGCAUGGAAGAAGGUGAGUCGGAGACCAGCCUUCUCGGCAAGCUGGACGGGGACCACUGGGUCUUCUACUUCGACGGUGCGUUCAGUCUUCAAGGAGCAGGCGCUGGAGUCGUCAUUGAGUCACCGACAGGGGACCAGUUGAGGUUCGUCGUCCAACUCGACUUUGCUAACUCCACCAACAACACCGCGGCGUACGAGGGCCUGCUUGCCGGGUUGCGGGCGGCGGUCGCACUCGACAUCAAGCGCCUAGUUGUUCGCGGUGAUUCCCAGCUUGUAAUCAACCAGGUGAACAAAGACUACGACUGCCCUAAAAUGGCGCCGUACGUGGAGGAGGUCCGCAAGGUAGAACGAAAGUUCAAAGGUUUGCGCUUCGAGCACGUCAAGUGGAAGGAUAACUUCGCUGCUGACGAGCUGGCCAAGAUGGCAGCAGAGCGCCGAAAGCCUCCGGCGGGGGUGUUCUGUCAGAAGCAAGUGGCUCCUUCAGUCGCCCCCCAGCUGGCUGCCGGGGACGCCCCUCCGACAACCGAAAGAACCCCUGUGGCAGCAGGGGUCCAUGCCGUUGAUAUAGCGGCAUGCGUUGGCAGGGGAUUCCCCCCUGGGCGGAAGAAAUCGCCCGCUACUUGAAAGGGGAGGCUCUCCCGGAAGAUGACGUCGCCGCAGAGCGCGUAGCACGACAAGCCAAGAUGUACAUUGUCGUAGACGGGAAUCUCUACCGCAGGCGUGCGAACGGUGUCAAGCUCAUCUGCGUGCCGCAGGAUGAAGGGUGCGCACUUUUGGAGGACAUACACCGAGGCGCAUGUUCACACCAUGUGGCCUCCCGGGCUUUAGUCGGCAAGGUGUUUCAGCACGGCUUCUACUGGCCCACGGCCCUGGCCGGCGCAGAACGGUUGGUGAGGACAUGCGAAGCGUGCCAGUUCCAUUCAAAAAAGAGCAACCAGUCGGCACAGCCCCUACAUGUCAUCCCGUCCUCAUGGCCGUUCGCGGUCUGGGGGCUCGACAUCGUCGGCAAGCUACCGAGGGCGGUCGGCGGUUACGAAUAUUUGUUCGUGGCCAUCGACAAGUUCUCCAAGUGGGUGGAGGUGGAACCAGUGCGGAAGGUGACCGCCCAGGCGGCCAUCAAGUUCUUCAGAAGCAUUGUGUGCCGGUUUGGUGUGCCUAACAGCAUCAUCACCGACAACGGCACGCAAUUCACGAGCGCGGCGUUUCAAGCCUACUGCGAAGGCAUGGGCACCAAGCUGCGCUUCACGUCCGUUGCUCACCCGAGGAGUAACGGACAGGCGGAGCGAGCCAACGCAGAGGUGCUGCGGGGGCUCAAGAUGAGAACCUUUGACAAGCUCAAAGGCCACGGGAAACACUGGGUCAAAGAACUCCAACCCGUGCUGUGGUCCAUCCGGACCACACCUAGUCGGGCAACGGGCGAAACUCCAUUCGCCCUUGUCUACGGGGCAGAAGCGGUGCUGCCCCUCGAGCUCAAGCACGGAUCUCCCCGAGUACGCGCAUACGGCGACACCGGCCAACACGAGCAAAGGGUCGACGAUCUAAACUUCAUCGAAACUGCUGUGCGAGCCGCGCGCUACUAGCAGGGACUCCGUCAUUAUCACGACAGGCGAGUCCGUCCUCGGGGGCUCGAGAACGGAGACCUUGUCCUGCGCCGGAUACAAGGAAAGAAGGCCAGGAAUAAGUUGACUCCGAAAUGGGAGGGCCCCUUCCGGGUAGUGCAAGUAACCAGACCGGGGGCUGUCCGGCUGGAAACCGAAGACGGCUUGCCGUUGCCCAAUAGUUGGAAUAUUGAGCACUUGCGCAAGUUCUACCCGUGAAGCGGCAGAGCCUGACCCUCAGGUGAUGCCGCCGAUGCAUACCUCUCGAACUAGUGUAAACCACUAGUUAUUGUGAAUAAAGAUAAGUGUUUCACCCCUGAGCUUUGAAUUUGACUUGUUUAUUCGCAAGUUUCUCCCUCUUCUGUCUCUUGAUUUAAGUGCACAAAGGUGUAUUUCCAUACUUGCUUGUGAGCAGGGGGCUGUUGGAGCCUCGAAAACAUUAACCCGUUGCUGUUGGGGCAUGCAGUUGCCGGGCUUCCCGCAACGUGCAUCACUGGACGUGCAGCUGCCGGGCUCCCCGCGACAUGCACCGCACAGUCGCUGUGCCUGGGAAAAGAAAUGCUCACAUCCAAGUCUGGUAUCGACCCCUUUGUGCCCGGGGGCUGGGAGGCAGGAGGAGUUUCUUUGUGUUGCUUUGAGUAUUUUCGUAAAUUUCGAAAAUUUUGCAGCACCUCGGGCCUGGUAAGAAUCUAACUUGCAGGGAAGGGUGGAAUUUUGUGCACUGUGAUGCCCGUGGGCUGCCCACGGGUCGCACUAUGCCCCGGUGCCUUGUGGUGCGGGAUGACCGCAACGCAAGGGGCUCACCGCACUACGAGGCUUCUGACUCGGGAGGACACCGCCACGUGUGCCACAGUUGCUUGGUAAACAUGACGGCGGAGAUUGUACCGCGUUUUGAGGAAGGGGUGCCACGGGUGCUGCGCGGGCCCGUCGCACGCGGUGGCAAGCCCCCCUCCCGCGCCUAUAAAAGGCGCGCCCCAGCUACGGAACGGCUCAGAGCGAAGCCGGGUCCGGGGCUGUUAAGCCGGGUGGUGCCGCGGAGGCGCGAUGGUGGUGCAUCCCAUCAGCGCUUAGCGCCGACGGGUGCGCUGCCAUCGCGCCCCUGCCGCAUCACCCCAUCGAGCCCGCCCCGAGGGGCGUCGCAUGCCAUCAGCGUUCUGCGCCGACGGGUGCACUGCCGCCGUGCUCCUGCCACGCCCCCUCAAGCGGGUGGCUCCUCGGCGAGGGUCACCGCGGAGGCACUGUGGUGGUGCAUCCCAUCAGCGUCCGGCACUGACGGGGUGCAUUGCAGCAGUGCCCUUGCCGCGCCCCUCCAUAAGACACCUCCGCAAGGAGCAGGGGCCGCCGCGGAGACUCUAUGGUAGUGUAUGCCAUCCGUGCCUUGUGCCGACGGGUGCACUAUUAUAGAGACCCGGCCGCAUUCCCCUUGAGAGAGCCUUUUUCGGGCGCGGGUCGUUGCGAGAACGGUCUGAUGGCGCCGAUGCCGGCGCCCGCUGCCCGUUUCGGCCCAUCAACGCGUCCCUGCCACGGCCCUCGAGCAGUUUUGCUCCCGGGCAACAAUGGCUGUCACAUCCCUUGGGACGAGCUCCCCAGAAAAAAAACAGUUCUCCCCAGUUGUGGGGGCUGUCGCCGGGAGGCUAUAACUUCCUCGCCACCCGUGCCCGCCAUUCGGGGUGGGGCGCAGCUCGCGGCGAGGACGUUAUAGUCGUCUUGCGGCUGCUCCCGCGGCGGAGUCCUCCUAAGCCAGGGUUCGUCCCUGAAGGCGAGGGUUGCCGCGUGAGCGGGGUGGUAGCAUCGUCAGCGACGGUUGUCGCUGGCGGCGAUCCUGCCUCCGCGCCCCUGCCGCAUCCCUUAGAAAUCAUUUCCCUUGAACAGGUACCCAAGGUGGGUUCCUACCAAGGCAGUGCCCCAACUGCACUUUACCGCCGAGCGACACAAGGCAUUGGACUGAACUCGCUAAGAACUGAACGAAAUUGAGCUCUGUCCCGUUGGGUGUGGCCCCAGAUCCUGUGCGUAGCCGGGGUGUUAGAAGGACGCUUGCGGGAGGAGUGCGCUCCCCGUGUGGCUUCACGGGUCCGUCCCGGAAGGGCACGGCUUGGAGUAGUUACCCCGCAAGUGGAGCGGCUCCCCGCUACCGCUUGGCCCCAGGUCGGCACCGCGGGUCCGUCCCGGGUCCCUGGUCUGGUCAAGGGUGAGGCGCGCGAGUCCCCCGCAACACAAGGCGAAACACACAGAGGCUAAAAGGGCCACCCCGCUAGACAGCACCGGGAACAAUGAACAUGUCGAAAAACUUAAUUGAUUAAGAGUUGAACGAUUACAUAGGCUAAUCCAAAAUAUGAUUGUUCAAACGGUGCUAAGAGCCAUACUUGCAGGGAAAACAAACUAGAGAAGCUACAUUGGGAGCAACGAGCGCGGCUGAGGGCUGCGGCAACUAGUUGUCGCCGUCUUCGGCCGGGGGGUCGGCGGGGAGAUCAGCCUCCGGCUUCAUCUGCAUCCGCUCGACCACCUCGUCGACGAACUCACGCACUGCUUGGGUGUGCGUGGGCUCGUCCUCGCUGUCGGACCAAGCGUCCAGUAGGGACUCGAAGGGAAACUCCGGGUCCCGGAGAGGAAUCCGCGGGAGGAUUGUCCCGACAACCUCCCGGGCGCAGUUGGCGACCUCGUUGGCGCCGUACCGGGCGAUCCAGACGUCGAGCGCCCCAAGCUUCCCCACCAGAUCGGAGAAGAAGGGGAUCAGCGUCGUGACGUCUGUCCCGUCCACUUCCGCUGCCUGCAGCUCGAACCUGGGCAGCAGGUCGCGCAGCGACUGGGCGAUCUUCGCCAGCUUCUCUGUCUCGAUCUGCCGCUGCCCGAUCAAUGUACUGUGAUGGAGUCGGGCAUCAUGCGCGGCCUUCUUGGCCUUGCGGACGUUGCCCUCCAUCGCCGCGAGCUCUGCGGUUUUCGCCGCGAUCUCAUUGGCGGCCUUGGCAAGCUCCUCCCGGACGGCGGCCAGCUCGGUCUCGAGCCUGGCCGCUCUGUCCUUGGCUGAAUUGAGCUCAGUCUCGUGCCGGGCCGCCGCUCCCACCGCGUCCUCGGUGGCCUUGACCUGCACCUCCAGCGUGACGCGGAGGCCUUGGAUUUCGCCGCGGUAGUUGGCAAUCAGGACGCUUUUUUCGUCCAGCCGGGCUUGGGCCGCCGCAAUCACCUCGACGUGUUCCUUCCUGGUCGCCUCAAGGGUGGCCGACAUCGAUUCGAGCGUCCCUUGAAGCUCCACGCGCUGGGCCUCCAGUUGCCGCUGGAGCUUGGCCUCCGGGACCACCGGCUCCCGGGCGUCCUCCAGGGCUUGCCGGGCUAGCCGCGCCUCCUCUUCAGUGAGGCGCGUCUCCUCGCGCAGCCAGGACAGUUCACGCCGUUCUCUCUCCACGGCCUCCCGCACCUCGCCGAGCUGGUUCUUGGCAGCGGUGUGGUGCUCCCUCACCUCGUUGAAGGAGGUGACAAAGGCCAAUUGCUGGUCCCUGACGGCGUCCAGGAACCGGUGUCCCCGCUCGAAGAUGCUCGGAUCCCAAGUGAGGGGUUCCAAGCGACCCCGGCAAGGGUGACGAGGUCGGUACCGGGGAGAGCCGCCGAGGACGAUGAAGCCCCUGCUGCCGAAGUGGGGCUGGGCGCGGGUCGCCAACUUGCUCCCGGGGGUCUUGUUGUCCUCCCCUGGCAACUUCCCCUGCGCCUGCGCCCGGGGACAUCGAGGCUGGGGAAGUCUCCCUGCUUCCGGCGGGGGCUGCCCCCUGCUGGACAACAGGUGAGCCCGCGCCGGCCGCGCCCGCAGCUACGGGCGCGUCGCCAGGCGCCGUCACGGCGGUGGCGGUGUCCACUGCUGCCGCUGUGUCCGCCUCAACGAGGCUGGACGUGAGAGCCGGUUCCGGCUCCACCUCCGCCCCCACAGCCUCGACGACCAGAUCAAGGUCAACCACGGGUGCGCCCGUUCCUAGCGGGGGCGCACUUGUGUCUGCAACGACGAAAAGCAUGGGGAUCAGCGAAGGAUGGCGCUAGUGAAGACGUGCAAGGGUGACCAACAUGGUGAAGGGACGCGUAGAGAUAAACAAAACUUUUCCUACGCGAACUCCCAAGAUCUAGCCGAGGUAGAAGGCCACGAGGAUUACCACUAGACGCGCAGUUGCGGAUUAUCAAUGCGGCGCCUUGAUGCAGUGCAGUCCCUCGAUCCGAUCCAGCCGAUCCAAUCCCGCGAUCGUCGAAGUGCUGAACGUACAGCACCUCUGCCGGUAUCCACACGUGCGAGGAGGAGCUUCGGCGGCGGACUGCUAGGUCCGGUGCGACGGUUGAACUGAAUCGGGCUAGGGUUCUCAACGCAUGAGAGUGGAAAAAACCGUGCCCCUUAGGCAUCCCACGCCCCUGCUUAUAUACCGAGUGGAAGUGGGCUCCAAGCCUUGUGGCCCAUCCACCCUGCGAGUCUAACUCGCAUUGUCAGCCCAAUUCCAGUUCGGGUCCAACCCGACCAAAUACUUGCUCCCGCUCUUAAGUGUGUGACCCCGCAGGCUCAUGGCAACUUGGACACGAUUGGAGUCCGACUCACAAUCGAUCAAUCGGUAGCGGCUCCUAGCAGAACGUGCCGACUCCCAAGUACCAUCGAGUCAUGACGACGUACCUUCCAAUGUGACAUACGUCUUAGUCCCUUUUGCCUCACGAUAUACCUUGUCGAACUAUAGGCGAUUAAUCGUCAUCCCUUUAAUAGUUCAACUCUCUUCUCGAUCUGUGAUAUACGAUUCAUCCGACUAACUCUUAGUCGAUCGACCCGGUUAACAGUUAACCAAGUCGCGCAUGGCCAUGCUUCCCAAAUCAUAUCACUCGAGAGGGCCCAGAUAAUAUCUCUCCAGUCGGAGGGGCAAAAUCCCAUCUUGGUUAUCCACAUCACACAGCUUGAUUCUCAGUCAACCCGAACUCUGCCUUUAUAACUGCCCUGUUACGGAACAACGUUUGACAGAACCUAAGUUGGUGAUCCACAACUCGGAUUGUCCGAUAACCUCAGGUCUAAGGAUUACAUUGAUUGAGACAUGCAAAUGACGACCUACUCGUUGCAUCUCAAUAUGGGUCAGUCCGACUCGCUAAACUCUUUAACCGAAUCCGUGUAAGCUGGAAUGACAUCACCAUGCCCAUGACAAGUGGAACCGAGUCAUCAGCCAACUUUCACAUUAGUCUAGGUUAUGUGUCCAGCACAACCUCAAUGACUAAUGACAAUUUAGUAUGAACAACAUGAAUACAUAGUUCCACAAUCAAAUCACAUAUUCAAUGAUACAUAUCAGAUGUUCAAACAAGGACAACUUAAUAAUAUUUAUGAAUACAUUGGGAAUUACAUCAUACAUGAUUGCCUCUAGGGCAUAUUCCCAACACAUGGUUACCUUGUGCGGCCGCCGGGUUUGCCGGGGAAGCCCCCCGCCUCGCCUGUGCCGGCGGAAGCGCCCAAGAAGCUUGCCGCGGGCGAGCUGCCGCUCACUGCGAAAGAAAAAAGAAAGGUACACUCAUGAGUUUAGCUAACAGAAAUUGCAAUUCCAGAGGAGUGACGAAGACAUACCGGCUGCCGGCCCUGCCUCCGUUGGGGCUGGGUCGCCAAGGGGCACGCCCGUGCCGCUGCCGACCCCCGUGGCGGUAGGGUCGGCGGCACCGCUGGCAUCGGCGUGCACCUCCUUGCUUGGUGUGUCGGGCGGGGAAUCGCUCCUCGCCCUCUUGCUGCCACCCGUCGGCGAGGAGGACUUUGGGGGGUUACGCCGGAGCGUGAAGCCCCGGAAGACCCCCCGAGCAGGUGGCGCAGUAGGUGCCUGCGGAGUCGUCGUGACCCGGAGAGCUCCGGGUGUCGAUGGCGAGGCCGCCGCAGCGCCAGAAGCCGAACUUGCAGAGGCCCCCGCUACCGGGGCGAAGGCCGUGGCUGGGGCACCGGCAACCCCUGCAGGUGCUAGCGCUGCCGGGGUACAGGCGGGCGCCCCGGGACCGGUUGCCGCCACAGUGCUAGCGGUUGUUGCCGAGGCGGAGGCCGCCGCCGCCGAGACACCCACGGCCCCUAUUGCGGCGGAUACCAUCGAGGCGCCGACGGGCGCCCCUGCAGCAACCACCGUCGCGAGGUUGGUGGCCGCUGCCGUGGCGGACGUUGCCGUUGAGGAGAUGGCUGAGUGCCUUGACACCGGCGUGAAGAGAGGAAACCCCCGGCCGGAACUCCAUUGAUUGGAAGAUCUCGCCGGAGAUCCCCCUCACCCAUGUCCUGAGGGUCUCCAAGUCGACGCCGUCCGCCUGAAGGCGUGUCCUCUCCCCGGGACCCGUGUACAUCCACGCGGGGCGGGAGCGUAGCUGCAGCGGGGCUAUGCGCCGAUGGACGAAGGUGUGUGCCACGUCCACAUCGGUGAGCCCCGCUAGCCGCAGCGCCUUAAUCUUCUCCACAAUGGGGAGAAGGUCGGCGUCACGGUGGUAUCUGUCCUGCCAACCGUUCUAGGGUAGCGACAACUCCGUCGGCGACUGGAUGAACUCUUGGGGGUCCUCCACUCGGACCCAGCACCAGUCGCUCCGCUACUCUUUCUCAAUCUUCUUCCCCGACCGGACGAUGAACUCGGACUUCAUCUGGUCGCGGGCGCGGAAUACCACCCCUGACGACAUCGCCUUCGCGUUGUCAAUGCGGGGGUAGAAGUAGUGGCGGAAGAGCCCCACCGACGGCAUCACACCCACGAACAUCUCACAGAGGAACUAGAAGGUGGCGAGGAGGAACAGCGACGUGGGGUGGAGCUGCGCCACCCGCAGAUGGUAGGACUCCAUCAGUGCGUGGAGAAAUAGGGAGAAAGGCGGCACCAUGCCACAGAGGAGGAAGCGCGCGAACACCCGGAAGUCGUUGUCCUGGUGCUCGGCGCCCGCCGGGAAGAUUCGCGUCUCCCCGUGCUCAUUGAAGUUGGAGGCGACGGCGUGCCGGAGCUUCCCCGGCACCUCGCCGUUAUAGCCGGGGCGGAAGAAGGCGACUGUGGCGCGCAUCUCCCGCCUCUUUUGGUCCUUGGCGGCGGCCGCCUUGGUUGCCGCCUCGCUCUUGCUUGUCGCAGCCUUCUUCAGGACUUGGAUCUCUUUCCCCUUUCUGGUGGUGGGGGGCGCCAUGGGAAGCGAGGACGGAAGCUAGCAGGAGCGCAGGGAUGCGAGAUGCGGAAGAGGAUGGAGACGAAGGCAAUGGGGCAGAGUAUUGUUCCCCUUUUGGCAACAAUGAUGGCUUUAUAACGCCCGGCCGUUUGGUAACGGCCGGUUCCAUACCCUACGAGUGCGCGGGGAUAACUCCUAAUCAUUAGGAGUAAUGCGCGGAGGGGCCUUAACUUCCCUAUUAACGGGGGGAGUUAGGGCGGAAAUCACGCGUCCACUACUCCGUUUGUAACGGCUCCGUACACGGGGCGAUGAAGGGAUGCAGGCCCGCGGCAGAACGGGGCCCACGCGUCGGUUGAGGGCGUAGCCCGGCAACCGACCAGGGGGAAGACUCUUCCGGGAACAGGUGAUGCCGGCGCACGCCCGGGGGCUAAUGUCGCACCAGUGGCACCCGAGGUACCAACGCUGCGCGACACGUGGGCCCCGUCCCCGAGUUCCCGGGAAGGUUCCAUCCCGAGCGGCGGUUACGAGCAGCCCGGCAAGCUACCAGCCCGAAAGGGCUAGCGGGGCUUCGGGGAAUAUUCCCGCCUGGGCACCUCCCGAGAAGUCGCUUCCCGGGGGGAGGUUCUCGGGUGCGCUGGGCCCGGGCACUUCCGGGGAGCGACUUGCCGGGACAGGAGAUUCCCAGGCGCUUACCUCCGCCUCAAGCGCGGGGCCCAGUAGCCAGAUCAACAGCGCCACGAGGACGCGUGGCGGGCGUGGGAUGCGCGGUCCCACCAGGGCAAGGAGUAAGGCGCACGGCUCAGUAAAUGAGCCGACCGACGGGUUGUUACCCAUCGAUCAAAGGAGCAGUGGCUGUCCGAUCCUACUCUAGGGGUUUUAGACCCCUAGCGGCGGAGGUGGCAUCCAUGCACGCCACCAGCUCACCGGGGGGAGUUGUAUGCCUCCCCGCCCGACACUUGUAGCUCAUGCACCGUGGCGCCUGUGGCAUCCCCUUGAGUAUAAAAGAAGUACCCAUGCCAACGGUCAAAGGGUUCCGCGUGAGUUGAGUUCGGAGGAGGAGAAGGUGGUUCGGCAUAAGAUUAGUUGGCCCCAAUAGACAGUGGGGCUGAGUUCGACCGGCUCGUAGUUAGCUUCCUGCACUAACGAAGAGUAGUAAGGAGUACCUAUCCAGUGAGAGAAAGCCCGGGAACUUGCUCGGCAACUUGUAAACACCAGAUUCUAAGCUAAUACCAGCUCAGGCAAGCAGGACGUAGGGUUUUACACCUACGGGUGGCCCGAACCUACGUAAAAAACGUGCGUAUGUUCGUUCUUUGAUUAGCGUGCACUUUCAGUACUUCAUCUCGCCGGCCCCGCAGGGCCUCAUCGGCCGUGCCGACGAUCGCCGGGGCUCUACCCCGAUGCCCCUACCGAACCUAAAAGGGGGCCGUGGCCACACGCCCCCGGUGUCGGAGCACCGUGCGACGACACUGAAGCAUCAGUUUCAAGAACAAAAGGAUCAUGAAAAUUGGGCAAAGCUAGUACUGGGGCAGUAAUCAAAGCUUGCUUCAAGGUGUUGAAUGCAGAGUGAUGAAUUUCUGACCACUGAAACUGUCCCUUUUUUAAUAAAUCAUGUAAGGGUCUGCAGAUAAUGCCAUAGUGUUUAAUAAACCGUCUAUAGUAACCAGCUAGACCCAAAAAGCUUCGAAGUUGAGUUACUGAGGAUGGUGUCGUCGAAUCAGCAAUGGCACUGAUCUUCACAGGAUCUGUGGACACACCUUGUCCAGAAAUGAUAUGGCCCAAAUAUUCAACUUGAGAAACCCCAAAGACACAUUUACUCAGUUUAGCAGCCAGGUUGUUGUCCUGCAGUAAUUGUAAGACCAUGCCCAGAUGUGUAACAUGAGUCUCCAUAUCAGGACUGUACACCAAUAUGUCAUCAAAAAAGACCAAGAUGAAUUUCCUCAAAUAUGGAGCAAAGACUGAAUUCAUCAGAGCUUGAAAUGUUCCAGGAGCAUUAGAUAGACCAAAGGGCAUAACCAAAUAUUCAUAGUGGCCGAAGUAGGUUCUAAAAGAAGUUUUUGGAAUAUCAGGAUCAUGCAUCCUAAUUUGAUGAUAACUAGAUCGUAAAUCUAGUUUGGAGAAAGCCUGUGCGCCGUGCAACUCAUCUAGUAAGUCUUCAAUUAUAGGAAUUGGAAACUUGUUCUUGAUUGUUUGAGCAUUUAGUUUUCUGUAAUCAACACACAAUCUCCAACUACUAUCCUUCUUUUUCACCAAAAUGGCAGGAGAAGCAUAAGGACUCUAGCUAGGCCUGAUGGUGUUAUUUGCUAAUAAUUGCUUAACCUGGGACUCCAUUUCAUCCUUUUGCUUGUGAGGUACCCUGUAUGGCCUGAUAUGAGGUGGAGUUGCAUCAGGUUUCAGUGGAAUGGUAUGGUCAAUAGCUCUAUGAGGAGGUAAGCCCUUAGGUUCAGCAAAUACUGCAGGAAAUUGCUGUAGCAGAAUGUCAAUAGCAGGUGGGAUAUCGGUAAGUUCAGUAGCAGUAAGCUGAAGGGACUUGAGCUGCAAUACAUAGCCAGGAUGUGAACUUUUCAGUAACUUGUCCAUUUCUUCUGCUUGUACUUCCUUAACUGAUACAGUUGGAGGAAUAGUGUGAAAAGUAAGAGGAUUAACUCCAUGUUCAGUGAUUUGCAGAGUGUGUUUGUUCAAAUCCACUGAAAAGGGGCUAUGCUUGGCCAACCAAUCACAUCCAAUGACCACAUCUUGUCCAGGAAGGUUUAAGAUUCUAAAGUUAUUUGUGAACUCAUGAUUCUCCACAGUGAAAGGACAGUUAAGGAUGACAGAAUCAGAGCAUAACAAAUCUCCUCCAGCAACCCUGACAGUGAUAGGAGGGGCUGACAGCAUAGCACAAUUAGUGGUACUAGAAAACCUGGAAUGCAUGAAUGUAUUAGUGCUACCAGAAUCCACCAAAGCAACAGCUAAUUUUCCACCAAUAGUGAUGUAGAUCUUGGGAGUACUGGCAGAAGGCAUGCCACUGACUGCUUGACAAGAGAUCUGCAUGAUGUGUUGCUGAACAUCCUCAGUUUUUUGUUCCUGUUCCAUUUCUUCAGUGGGAUUUUCAUCGGUAUCAUCUUGUUCCUCAGCUUCACCUUGCAACAUAUUAAUGAGAGGAACCUUUUGACACUUAUGGCCUGGUUGCCAUUUAGCUCCACAUCGCCAACAUAUUCCAGGUGGCCUUGCUCUAUUAAUAUGUGCAGAAGGUUCAGUAUCUUGCUGCUUAGCUGGUAGAGCAGGAGGGAUAUCUUGUAUCUUGCCUUGCUGAUACUGAUAUUGUUUCUGAUAGGGAGUAUUGUUGGGAGAGGUAGAUUUCUUGGGUGGAUAGCAUUGUUCAUAGUCACAGGCCAUCCAACAAGCUUCUGUCAAGGUAGGGGGUCUUAGGGGUCUUAACUGAUGUUUAAUUCCAUCCCUCAAUCUAUUGACAUAGCACUUAACAAACCAUUCUUCAGAUAAGGUUGGAUUACUUUCAGAAACAGUAGCCAUUAAGUCCUCAAAUAUGUCAGUAUAUUCAGCAACUGAUUGAGAAUGUUGUUUCAGUGUAUUGAAUGUUUCCACUAACUGAAAGGCACUAUAGCUAGCAAAUAUGUGAAUUAUCAUUUCACAAAAUCUCUCCUAAGUCGGCAUACAUUUGAGUAAGCCAGACCUCCUAAGCCACUUGUCAGCUCGACCAGUGAUGUACAACUGAGCCAUCUGCAGUUUGAAUUCAUCAGGAGUAGCUGACAUUUGAAAGCAUUUUUCACAUUGUCUAAUCCACUCUUCAGGAUUGUCACCAUCAAAACGAGGGAAAUCCAAUCUGGGUCCUUUUGUAAUGGAUUUUAGGAAUUGAUUUCUCAUGUCCUGUUCAUAAUAUCUAGCAUAAUUCUGCCAUGGAUUUCUCUGAAAUGAGUUUUGAUGAUACUGUGGAGUGAAACCUGUUGUAUGAUCAAGAUGUUGCCUAUGGGAUGCAGUAUGAGGAUUAGUAGUAUGAAAAUCAGGAGGAGGGCCUCUAGACACUUGUUGUUGCUGGAAUAACUGCUCAAAUCGACGAGUAAAUUCUUUUUCCAUAUGCAACUGGUUUUUAAGGUCCUCAAGUUCCAUAGCUUUGGUACAUUCUGCACUGCUAGGAAUCUUAAUAGGAGAGAGCGAAGUAGGUAUACCAUCCUUACCAGGCAUUGUUUGUCCAAAUGGAACAGGGGGAAGGUGAGAAAUUGGGACGCAGAUUCCUGAAAGUUUCAGUAAGCGCUGACAUUUGGUCACCGACACCAGCAAUCACCUAAUUCAUUUUCUCCAUGGAACUCACUAAGACAUCCUGCUGAGAGCUCACACGGGUAACAUCCUUGCGUAAAUCCACCAAUUCAUUGUGGUGAGAAAGCACUUCUUGCUUGAGUUGGAGAAAAUCUGCGGUGAGGUCGUCGUCGUCCACAAAUGGUUUGCUUUUCCCCAUCGGAACUGAUCAACGAGACAGUGAAGGAAUUUUACACUGGUAUGCACCAGCAACCCGUCACUGGUCGUAGAUCCUGCCGCCGCCGCGCCGAAUUCAGAACAGGGAUACCAGCGGAACCGAAAUUCCACCUGCCUGCUCCUAAUCCGACGAAUCGCCGCCUUGAUGGUCACCCGUCGCCGGGAAGGGAGUCGAUGGUGAAGGAUUUUACGAGAGAUCCCAACUUCACCAUCGCUCCAAUCCAAUCGCCACCACUGCCAAAGACCGAUUGGUCUCUGAUACCACUUUGUCAGACCCCAGAUCACAUAAUAGAACUAAAGUAACGAAUCAACACAGGGGAAUUGAGCAGGGGCGCCUCUUACGGACGAACCCUAGAGCGAAGCUCUUUACUGUAGUGAGUAUAAUGUAUAUUGUUUUAAGCAAAGGUUGGAGAAUAAGAGGAUAACUUUACAGGGCACUAGACCGGCCAACUAUAUAGGCAAACUCUUACUGCAGUAAAAGCAAGAGAGAACGAAGUGAACGAUUGCCGGAACUGGAAACAGUAAAGGUAACUUUGUAGGAGAUAUCGCUUCGCACCGUAGCUUCUGAAUAAUAAGGCAGUGUUGAAUUCUUCAGUAGUACAGGACCUGACAACCUCCUCCCCUCCUCUUAUACGAUAGCUACUGCUGCUCUUCCUCCAAACUCUCUCUGUACAGCAGCAUCUUUCCCCCUCAUCGUCUCCCCUUGCUUCUUUUUCUUCCAUGAGUUCGUUGGGGCUGUUAAGCACUCCGUAUUGCAGUUGGUUGGCCAUCCGAACUAGCUACUUCGUUGAGCUACUUCAUUAUGUUUCAUGUCCAUGCUAAUUUCAUGCCAACAAGUGUUGUGCUAAUUUUAAUGUUUUUACCUUCUCAAUCAUGUGUGGUUAAAUAGACUACUCUGGAUUCUCUCGUAACUCAGUGCACGCCCGACCCCGUCCCAAUUCCCAAACCCUAGACGUCAGGGUUCCAGCCAAACUGAUGAACUGAACUGAAAACCCCAAAAUAGAAUACAUCGCCGAACAUUGUGCAAGUUGUUUGUACACCAUAUAGUAGCAAUAGAUAUAGUGGUCGUUUAUGUGCUCCCUGUUGCAUCGGUAGUACAAAUCUCUCCUCAUGGUGGUUUAAGCUGGCUUCAUAAGGGAGAUAGCAUGUGUAAUCUUUUCCUGCAAUUGGUCAUCGUCUUGUUUAUCAUUUGUUUCGGGUUCAAACAUGGCACGCCGAGGAUUAAUGGAGCAGGACUUAAGAAAGCUUGAUGUUACAAAGCUCCACCCGUUGUCACCUGAGGUUAUCUCAUGCCAAGCGACAAUCAACAUUGGUACAAAUACGAUCUUUUUGGCAAUGUUUCCAUUUUCAGUAUGGAGAAUUUAAUUAUCUUGUGUACAAGCUAUUUUUCAUGAUUUCUAAGUUACUGGAUUGCUCCUCAUUAGCUAGUAGCUUUGCGUAUUUAGUAUCAUGCACUUCACUGUGGAUUCCUAUUAACUAUCAUACAUUUGUUGGUGGGCGACGUAUCAGGUGAAAACCUUCCUUCAGUGAAAACUUGGAAACUUCCAAUCCUAUCUAUUAGAUCCCAAAUAAAUGGAUGAGACGAAAGGUUGAAGUUCAUGUAUUUUAUGAAACCCCCCUUAAACUUCCCCACCUCGGAGUUUUUUCAUAAAAUAUGUUUAAGUGAUUAGAGGUCCCACCAUUCAUUUCAUCUGUUUAUUUAAGAUCUAAUGUUUAUGGUUGAAAGUUUUCAUAUUUUUACUGAAUGGAGGUUUUCAACCAACACGUUCAAUGCUUAUGUUACAUGCAUUAUUCAUAGUUUAAGGCUAUCAAUGAGUUCUACUUCUACUAGAUAUUUGUUUACACUAAAAAUUGUAUCACGGAAUAUUUGAUUGAUCUAUUAGAUAUUUGUUUUAUUGUUUGAACUUUACUAUGAUAUUAUGAAAUGUCAUACGUUUACAAUAUGCAUCUCCUUGAGCAGGGCCACGACCUUCUCAUGGCUACAAUGCUUAAUGGAGCAGCUAUCAUGGAUGGAGCCUUGCUUUUGAUAGCAGCAAAUGAAAGCUGCCCACAACCCCGGACAUCCGAGCAUCUUGCAGCUGUUGAAAUUAUGCGUCUCCAGCAUCUCAUAAUUCUGCAGAAUAAGAUCGAUCUUAUCCAGGAAAGUGCAGCGAUGAACCAACAUGAAGCAAUCCAAAAGUUCAUCCAGGCCACUUCUGCUCGUCAUCACUCUUUUUAAGAUACAUGUCUUUUGUUUCAUGGUUUGAUCUUUUUUACCCCCAUUUGUGCAGGGCACGAUAGCUGAAGGUGCUCCCGUGGUGCCAAUAUCUGCCCAACUUAAGUACAACAUUGAUGUGAUCUGUGAAUAUAUUGUAAAGAAAAUCCCCAUUCCAGAAAGGAACUUCACUUCACCUCCCAACAUGAUUGUUAUUCGCUCCUUCGAUGUUAACAAGCCUGGUUCAGAGGUGGUUCAGAGGUCGAUGACAUUAGGGGUGGUAGUCAUGGGGCAUAAUUAGAUUAUAAGUGUUUCUUUUUCUUCUGAUAAAUUUAAACUGAAUGGCAAUUCUUAUUUACAGGGAGUCCUGAGGGUGAACCAGAAUAUUGAAGUUCGCCCUGGCAUUGUCAUGAAGGAUGAGAGUGGCAACAUCAAAUGCACCCAAUCUACUCGAGGAUUGUCUCGCUAUAUGCCGAGCAAAAUGAACUCUAAUUCGCUGUGCCAGGGGGGCUUAUUGGUGUUGGAACAACCAUGGAUCCAACUUUGACUCGUGCUGAUAGGCUGGUUGGCCAGGUUUUAGGAGAAAUUGGGUCACUUCCUGAUGUAUUCGUAGAGCUUGAGGUUUGUCAAUUCUUUGUUGCUUCAAGAUUUUUAGUCAAGCAAGGGUAGCUGUUAAUGACAUCCUUGGACUACUGUGCAGAUAAAUUUCUUCCUCCUUCGAAGGCUGCUGGGUGUGAGAACAAAGGGUACAGAGAAAGCAGGGAAGGUCUCCAAGCUCACCAAGGGUGAGAUCCUGAUGCUUAACAUAGGAUCUAUGUCAACAGGCGCCCGUGCGGUUGCUGUUAAGAAUGAUCUUGCCAAGCUUCAGCUCACUUCGCCUGUCUGCACAAGCAAGGGCGAGAAGGUCGCCCUGAGCCGCCGUGUCGAGAAGCAUUGGCGCCUCAUCGGGUGGGGCCAGAUCCAAGCUGGCGUGACGCUUGAAGUUCCACCCAGUCCGCUCUGAACUCUGAAGCAUUCGGCUCUUGACAGUGUUAGAAUUAGUUUAAUCUAACAAUCAGUGGGUUAAUUAACCACUAAUGGUGGCGAGGGACUCCUCUAGUUGCCCGUACGGACGCCCUUGUCUGUACAGGCCCAUUUUUCCUAAUGUCGGUUCGUUCGAGGCGCUUGUUCCACUUGUGUAUAUUACCCCAAUUUAUCAAUAAAAAGUUACUGGUCCUAAUCACUUUUGCUGGUUACACGUGGGACGGUUCAUGCAUCUGUACAAUUUCAUGCCAACUCAAGCUCAGGUAGGAGAGGAGCUUGAGGAUGUGCUGCACAUAAAAAGCCUCGAUAUAUGUAAAGAAAGUGCACUAUUAACAAAUCAAAGCCCAAUAAACAACAAAUCACACUGGAUAAGAGGCUCAACUGAAUUGCUUCGGAAAGUUACAAAUCUAACGCUCCAUGAGUCUGAUCCAACCGUCGCACACUAAUCCGAUUAGUCCGAGAAAAAUCAUACUCCCUCCGGUCAUAAUAACCAUUGGUUAUUUAGUACAAAGUUAUUACGGGGAUUUAGCAUUCGGCAAGAGUAUCUAUAGCAAUAUCUAUAUCUAUACCAUUAUAUUAAAUUCGAAACGGUGGUGAUGUUACGGACAUCGCUGCGGUACGUCACUUUGCCAAAAUUACGAAUAUGCCACCACUGUCCAGAGGGUGAGCGCGGUACGUCACAUUUGUUCUUCCGUAGCAACGCACGGGGCUUUUUGCCAGUAUUAAAUUAAAUUUGGCGGUGACGGUACGACCGCAGCCAUACGUCCUCAACUCUUUCCGCCCGAACCCUCUCGCACGGGAGAGUCCUCGCACGCGGGACGCGGCUCGACUGGCCUGAUCCUAUCCCCUCUCCUUUCUCCUCGAUCGAUCCAUCCUCCUCGAUCUCUUCUUCCUCGCACCUGGAUCCGCAUCCUCCACGAAUUCUAUCCCUCCCGUAUAGUCAGUCCCGCGCGGGGAAAUAAGUAACUCACUGUAAAAACCAACCUGCCGAGCGCCGAGCCGUACAAUGGACCCCUCACGCUGCCGCCGCGCGCGCUCUCCACACAAAGCGAGGCUAUCUCCGCCGCUGGCAGGCCUGCUCGCGUUUCCUUUCUCCUCCAACCUCCGGCUGCUCUCCGGUAGCUCCGCCCGCCCGCCCGGCCUCCAUCCCGCAGCCCUGUGGCCGAACUCAUCCCAAAACGAGGCCACCACCCUCCGCCAGGAGCGCCUUGGCCACGGGCCGAUGCUGGUGGAUGCCUCCGCUCUGGAGUCUGGAACCAGCGCCGCGCGCGGGAUGGCUUGGCCCGUUGGCUGCUGCCGCGCUAGGAGGAAGCGGGCCGUUGGCCGAUGUCUUGAGCGACAAGCGUGCGUCGAGACGUCGCAGCCAUUGCCUCGUCCAGACCCCUGCAGCUGGAGGUGAGAUGUGUUGGUAACUAUCGUAUGCUCCCAGUACGUUCAACAAUGUAUUGUUUCUCUUGAGCAUGGAAAACUAUCGUAUGCUCCCAAGCGACCGGUUGAUGGUAUGUGCUCAAUUGAUGUUCCAAUUUCUAAAGUAUUUAGGUGUUUGGGCACUUGCAAAUUGCAAAAUCAUCUCAUGUUCUGCAACUUGCAGUUCCUUUAUGUAUUUAGGUAUUACUUAGAUGAAGUCCGGAGAACUUGGAAUUAGCGAGCUCGUGGACACGCCAAGGGCAGGAGGUAUACAUCGCUUGAGCAGAAGCCUGUAUGCAGCGCAUCUCAGUUUUGCCCAAUCUGUAGUAGCACAAUUCAAUCUAUUUAUUCUCUCUUUCUGAUCUCUUUUCUCUGUAUAUGAUCUGCCAUUUUUCUUCCCACCCCUUUGACAUAGAUGAAAAGAAAGAGUGCUCUGAUUAAUACAACUUUAUCUUUGUUGCUACAAGAUUUCAAUAAGUUGCUUUCAACAUGGCCUAUUUUUAUUUCUGGUAGAAAUUGAUAUCGAAUCUGCUGGUGCAUGUUUCUAUUUUUCUCGUGAUUUUCAUUUUCAGGGACUUCAAUCAACUUUUGCCAUGGUAUUGAUACAGCUGCGGCGUUACUCUAUGUGUGUUGUAUUUAUUCAUGUGUCCUUUGUAAUUAGUACCUAAACUAUUCAGUUGCAGGCAAAUUAGAGACACAUAGUUAACAUUGUCUUUGUUGUCUAUCAACGAGCAGACUUUUUUUUUGCUUGUGUUUCUACCUUAGUGAUGGUGAAAGAAAAUCUCUCUUAGUCUAUCAAGUACUUACAUGUAUAUCAAUGUUCUGUAGCGACAAGCGUAGAACGUCAGUAAUAAUUUCUAUCAAUGUUCUGUAGCGACAAGCGUAGAACGUCAGUAAUAAUUUCUAUCAAUGCCUUGGUUAGAAGCCAGGAUUGUAAUAGAAUUCGUCUUAUCAAUUUAUCUAAGUAGCCUUUUUUUUUUCCGUAGCAAUGCAUGGGUGUCUUACUAGUUAGUAGUACAUGAGACUUGGUACGACUGAGCUGCAGCAUAUAAAUACACGGUCAAACAAAUUCCAAAUUUCCUGGUAAACCGCAGCAACUCAAUGAUUCCCCCAACGGCACUCGGCAGCCACCGUCGCAGGCUCCCGGCGCCUCCUCCCGAAGUUCUACCAAGCUUUUAAAAAUCUCGACGCCUUUGCCGCCGCCUCUUAAAACCAAACCUCCACGCUCCACACUUCUCAGCCAUCGACACGAUACUACUGUUAGUAGCAGCAGGCAAGAGCCAAGAGGCAUCAGGCAAGGUCGCAAGGAUGCCACAGCUCGCUGGUAGCGGCCAGUCAAGGUCCAAGGUCGUCGCGUUCGCGGGCUCCGACGCCGACGCCCAAUGCAAUAUUAACACCGCCAGCGCCCACGCGGACUACGCGGACGGCUGGGGAGAGUUGCGCCGGAUUAGCUGGGCCUGGUCCGGGCUGGCCGGCGCCGUGCUGGAGCGGGCCGGGUCUACCAAGGGAAGCUCCAACCCCAAGACCACGGCGGCGGCGAAAGAGGAGACGCGCAGCAAGGGCGCGCCGAGGCCGAGGAGGCUGCCGGCCAUGGUCAUCGGCGUUCUGCCCGCGGGCAAGUUGGUCGUGGAGCAGCGGCGCUCCCCAGCUCCAGGCCGCGGCUGGCGCCGGCCCGCGGGAGGGGCCAGGGUCUUCGCGAGCGAGGCCGUGGAGACGACGGAGCCCGUGUCCCCGAAGGUGUCGUGCUUUGGGGCUGUACGGUCCGAGGCCGAGAGCCGUCCGACGGCGCCUGCGCCGGCACCGCGUGGGGAAGACGCGCGGAGCGGGUGCUGGGCGAGUGUCGCUUCCGCGCUCCGUGCCUUGUGCCGCACCGACGACAAUGGUCCCGAAGGUGAAAUUUGGGCGAGUGAGUUAUCGACGGCCACGGCGUUGGAGUACUUAGAGUCACCGACGAAAGUGGCCGUUCUGUCGCCGCCGCGCACGGUUUUGGGGCUGGGAGAAGUGAAGCGCCUUGCUUCGCGGCGGUGGCCGGACGGCAUGGCAGGAGAUGGGCGGUGCCCGCCGGUUUGAAUCGCUUGACGUUGCGUGCUUCGGUCGUCGGGAGGCACGAGAACAGUUGUACAUCCACGGACCACGGUUGCCCAGGCACCGGUAGUCCGCUAGCCAAGCCAACCCGUGCUAAAAAAAAACUCCAUCUUUUGAUUUUCUCUCGUGUCUUGUGUGUCCGUCUCUUUCUUUUGUACAGUUUGCUGUUUCAUGGCUACCUUGGGUUAUGGAUCUUUGACUUUGGUAAAUCAUCACUUCUUCACUCGGUCAGUGGAGUCAGAGAAGACCAAUUGGCAAUGCAUGAUUAAGUGAAUUAAAAAACAAUCUAAGCUGAUGAUCUAAUCUCAAUCUCGUGAUCUCAUCUAGCAGCAUCUUUUAUUCUUGGUGAGAACAUAUCGUCUAGUAGUAUCUCAACGGAAGAAAAACUGCGAAAAGUUUUUUAAAGAAUUACCGUUUUGCUAUAGCAAAGGGGCCUGUUUUUUUUUUGAAAAACAGGCGAUUUUGUGGCCGUCCGAUUCAUGCUUGAAGAUUGCAGAUUGGUGCCUUUUCCUUUUGCCUUUUCUUUUUGUUGCUCUGACCGGUUUUUUCUUUGCGUCUGAAGUCUGAACGCACUCUUCUUCCUUCUGCCGACUGCCUUCGGAGCGAGAGGAUGGGGGCCACGGGGAAGGGGAGGAGUCGAUUUUGCUCGCCGGAGGCUGGCUUUUCCGUCCGGUGAGCUUCCCCUUCAAUUUUUGGUGUCCCCCGUCCUCCUCCCUCCCUCCUCUAUGCGGCCCUCGCGGGGUCAUUGUCGGCGUGGCCCUCAUGGGGUCAACGGCGACUGCACGGUGAGCGGGGCACGCUAGCGUGGCCCUCGAAGCGCCCACCGGGAGACCUUCCUCCGUCGCCUCUGAACUCCUCCCGUCCUGCAAGGUCGCCAUCAAGCCGCAUUUGCUCCGACCCGCGGGCUCUCGCGCCGUUGCGCGGAGCUUCGUCAGACGAGGAGGAGAGGACCAAGUGCCUGCAGUCGAGGGUGCGGGCGGUGGAGAUGCCGUGCGGGCCGAUGCUGGUCUCAUACAUCACCGUGGCCGCGAUGUGUCGAGGUGAAGGCUCGUUUGCUCGCGCUUGUGUUUGGUCGCUAAUUUUUUUGCUUGUGGUCUGUCGUUGGCUCCACUGUGACGAGGCGAAGAUGGCAGAGGCUAGCGCCUGUUCGAGGGGGUUUCGAUAUGCGCUCGUCGGCGGUGACGUCUAUUAGGUGGUCAUCCGGUGAUUUUGGUGGUGGUUGAUUUCUCCCCUUUUCUUCGGGUGGAUGUGGAGAUGCGAAGGUAGUAGAGGGGCAGGUUCGAUUUCGUGCUCGUCCUCGGUGAUGUCUGCUCGCGGCCGUCAGGUUAGCCUCUGUACAUGUGAUGCAGGGUUACCCUUUCUGAAUUUGGAAGUCCGGCUAGCUGUAGUAGCGAUUCAGACUAAUGGGCAGUUCAUUUCGUGCAUUAUGGCUUUAUGUUGUGUUUUGUGAUCUUUGUUCCUGGAUAUGCUUUUGGCUAUGCCCACUGAAACUAAUAUGGCAACAUUUUCAUCCAAAUUAUUUCCAUUUUCUGGUUCUAUAGGUUGGGCUAGUGCUAGUGUCAUUUUGUUGUCUAUAUUCAUGUUUGUGUGGGUCGCAACCUCCAUCAUGGUGGCCACCUCCUUGCCCAACAAGGUGUGUGCAGCUCAUGUUAGAUUAUUUGCUUGCGGUCCUGCAGGGAAGUAUGCUCUUGGCCAAUAAUAUGAGAUGGGUUAUCAACUUAGCCAUAAAGCUGUAGUAAAAAUUAACAUUACGAAUAUGUAAAUAUAACUUGGCAAUUAUUGGUCAAUCAGAAACUCAAGUCUCUUUAGAUGUUGGUCUCACUCCCACAGCCACUUGGCACAUAUUGUCAUAUAUGCUUCUUAGUAUUUUGCUUGCUCUAUAUGCAAGCUAAUUUGGUUGCAGCUACUAUAUGCAGGAUGGAGAACUUGCACUACAUCAAGCGUCAAGCUGCUGUUUGUAGCUAUUUCUUUUGGUAUAGGAAUGUUUCUCUUCACUAAGAUUCUUGGAACUUGGGUGUUGACUGGUAAGUUUUCGAAAUCAAGUGUCUUGCUGACAUUUGUAGCUCUUUCUUUUGGUAUAGUAAUGUUUCUGUUCACUAAGAUUUUUGGGACUCAAGUGUUGACUGGCAAGUCUUUGAAAUGGACUUGAAACUGUCAUUUUUCUGAACACAUUGGCCAUUUUGUAUUUUCUACUGAAGUGGAGGACUUCUCUUAUCAUUAGAUUCUGUCUUUCAUGUUAUUUCCAGUUGAAAACCCACUUUGUCCUUCUCCUGGACUCAACAAAGCUUGCUAAGGAUGCUUAGAUUUAAAGUUAUGAAAUGCUUUUAUCUCGAGUUAUGAAAUGCUUUUAUCUCAACUAUAUUCUUAUUCUAACUUCAUCACCAGAUAAGGAUGUGUACUUGCAUUUAGACUAAGCCCAGUAUAUGUUCUUGCAUUUUGGUCAAUUAAAUGGUACAUUUUGUACCAAUAUAAAUUACGCGCAGCCUGCAAUGUAUGAAAUGCACAAUGAACUUACAGGAUUUCAUUUGUAAAUUUCAGGAACUCAAAUAAAAAGCAAAGAUUGUUUUGGAAGGAGGUAUAAAUGUAGCUUGUUAAAUAACUUAGUUAAUUCAUUGUAUCUAUAUUUGUAAUUCUAUUUUCUUUUCUGCAGCAACACAAGUUUCUGAUCUUGUCAGUCAUUCAAGACCAAUUCAGAAGAAUAUUUAAAAAACAAAAUACUUAUUCUGAAGAAGGUAUGUCUCGUCGCUACCCAUAUAUGAUAUCUAUAUCUGAUCGCUGAUAUUUCUUCUAUAUGGGCUGCAGCAUGUAAAGUACCCCGUAAACUAGUCAAUUUACAUUAGGAUCCUUUACAUUAACCCUUACAUUAACUCCUUGCUAUUUGUACUCAAUUAACUUAUGAAAUUCAGAGCGUUGUCGUCAAGAUGCAAUAAUUUCCAUCCAUUGUUUUGUAUAUGUAGCAUUUGUUUACAACAAAUGAUACCGAUUUAUGAUAAAGUAAAAAUAUUUUUACUUCAUAUUUUGCAUGUAUGGAGUUGAGAAAUAGCUUUUCAAUGGAGAAAACUUUGUGCAAGCUCGGCAGUACCAAAGUGCAGGUACAUAAGUACAUAAGGUAGGUAUUUUUGUCCAAAGUCCAAGUACAUAAGUACAUCGCAAUUGAACGUGCUGCCUGAACCUGUUUGGCUUUUGAGUUUCUCCCUGGUUUUGUGUAUGACAAAGUUCUAAUUGUCGCCAAACCUGACUUGUAUGUGGUCUAAAAAUAAAUCAAGCAAGGAUAUUUGGUUCAUUAGAUCAAAAGGUUCUGGGUUUCUGGCUAAGCAUGCAGGCUUUAGGUGUAGCCUUCAGUUUAUCUGAAAUUUUUGUCGUCGUCUCAGUUCUUUCAUAGUUCGUUCUUUUCAUUUAAAGGAAUAGGAGAUACUGGAGUUGAAUACUCCAGUUGCAAUCAUAUUUCAGAACUUUGGGCAUUUGUGUCUCUGAUAGCCGGAUAGCUGUGUCAGUCGUUCAAAGUCAUAUUCGAGUUCAAGUGGUGCUUAAGUAGUUGCAUUAUGUGACGUCAUUUGGAAUUCUAUAUUUAAACGUUUGCAAUUGCAAAAUCAGGUUGCAUAUUGGGUCAUUAUCUGUGUGCAAUUGCAUUCUUAACUUUUUUGAUUUGCACAUGUAGGAUUUGACACCAAGUUAUGACUUAUUACAAUACAAUUUUUGUAGUGCAAUUUUAGAGUUCAAAGUCUGCAAUUGCAUAAGCUGAUUGCAAAUUGGGUCACUAUCUGUGUGCAAUUGCAUUGUUAUAAAUUUUGACUUGCACCUGUAGGAUGAUGUGUGUGUGCCUUAUUCUGUUCCUGCACUCUCUUGGGCCCCAUUUUGAUUGGUUUUUUUAUUUGUUUUUAUUUGAUUUUCUUAGUGCAUUUCUGCUCUUUUUCAGCCUAACAUGAUUUUGCUUUCCUGUUGGGGGUUAUAUGCCAAUUUGAAAAUUUUGUUCUCUUAUUUGAUGCACUGCGAAACAGUAGCGCAAUUUUUAUUAUGUAUAAGCGCAAUUGCACUCUUGUUUUCCAUUAAUCGAUGUUUCUGCCUAUCUUGAAAUUGUUGUUCUCUCAUUGAUGAAGUGUCAAAUAGUAGUGCAACUUACAUUGUGUCUAAGUGCAAUUGCACUGUUUACUUUUAUUAAUUGCAAUUUUUCUGUCGCAACUAGGGGGUUAUGUGCCCAAACUUGAACAUUUUGUUCUCUUACUUUAUGCUAUGCCAAACAAAAGUGCAAGUUAUAUUCUGGCUAAGCGCAAUUGCAAUCUUGAUUUCCAUUAACCACAGUUGCAAUUUCUCUGUACCAACUAUGUUUUUAUCUCCACUGAAUUGAACCUUUUUGUUUCGUUUCGUAUGUUAUCUCUCUGAAUUUUCGCCCAGGUCUUAGCACUGUGAAUGCAGUUAGCAUCCAAGCUUUUCUUUUUGUAAUGCACCGUUGAAUGAUGUGUUAUGGCAGGUAGUUGUAUCAUGUGUAUAUAUGGAAACUGCUCCAGGUGUUUUAUAUUAUGAAAUCUUUGCAAUGUGAAUGCAGGUAGUAUCUAAACUUAUCAAGUCCCCUGCGAUUAUGCUUGAUUUUUGAAUAACUAGAAGCUAUUGCAAGGUGUUAUGAUGUUAGCUUGUUGUAGCUACUGUUAUCUCCUCAGGGUUUUUUUGGCAAACUGGACGCCACAAAGAUGGAUCUAUCCUUAUUGUAUAAACAGCUGGUCAAGUGAAGCUAGAUAUUACUCAAAUCAGCAAAUUAGAAGUACAUGUCAUCUUGCCCUGUUCUGUUACCUUUUUGCACAUACGAAAAUUCUAAACAAGGUUGGAGAUUGUAUCAUUCUUUUGCAGUUGUGUUGUAUUGUUGUUGUUUUCAAACAGUUGCCUAUGUGUAGGUUAGCCUUUUACAAUUUUUAUGUCUGUAGUUGCAUAGCCCUGUUUUUGUUUCAAAUUUAUGCAUUUUUUUAAUUCUGAAUCCUCUGAAAUUUGCAUAUGUAUAAUAAGUGCAGCCCCAGUUAGAUGUUAAUAUCUUAUCUUUGAUGGAUUUCCUGUAUCAAUCAAUAUACAUUACAAGCCUUGGCUCCAAGCCUCAAAGCCUCCAUUUUGACUUCUAAAAUUUCACAACAGUUUUUGAUCUUUUUUAUCUCAAAAAUGCAUGUACUGCAGUUGUCGGAUCUUUUUUAUUGUGCAACGUCUCUUUAUGUUCAAAAAAGAAGCAUAUUUUUUGUAUUCCAUGCUGUCACAGAUUCAGUUAUUUUGAUACAAAGACUCUGAUCUCUCUCUUUCUUUUAUGGCAGAUCUGAAAUCUGUCUGGUUUUCUGUUCAAAAACAGAAGCCUAGAUUUUCUUUCAAAAGUAGGCGUCUGGUUUUAAAAAAAAUAGCAGGCGACUGUUCCUGGUACAAAACCAGACGCUGAUCACUGGACAGACCAAAAAAAUUAACUGCCAAAAGUUCAAAAGCCGAAGGCGGCUGAAAAAAAAAUUGAAGUGAAAAAGUUGGAAACUUUACUGACAGGCUCACACGCGAGAUCAAAGCCGACACGAGCAACUCGGGAGAGGCCUGGCCGGCCCAAUACUACGUCCGUACGAUCCAACGGGAACAUCCUGGCACGGGCCGCGCCUCCUUUUUUCGGUUUCGGAGCCUCUCGUCCUGGCACCCGCACCAACCAUCUGCCGAAUUCGACCGUUGGAAUGAAACCGCAUCGCCCCGGCACGAGGAGGGUCAAAAGAAAACUGAAUCCGCAGCACCACUUCACGACCGUUGCGCGCACACUUCAAACACCCCAAAGCGCCCAGUCCUCCCCGUCAAGCCAGUCAUCAGCCCACAUCGUCGCUGGUCAAGAAAGCGGAACUGCAAAGAGGUUAGGGAGAGAGGAUUACUGCUGCUCCGUCGCCGAUCGCUGCGCCGAUGGGGUGCAUCUCGUCGAAGCUCCUCCCGCCGGGGCCCGGAGGCCACGACGCCGGCGCGCGUGCCACCGUGCGCGGCCGCGUCGACCACGUCGUCUCCCUCACCUCCACCACCUAUGGCGUCCUCGACCUCCAAACCAAGCACGGGGUCGCCACUGCGGCAUCAUGCCAAGCCAAGGAGCAGCUGCCGCCGCCGGAGCAGGACAAGCCGAUAAGCAGGGAGUGGAAGCGCGCCUCCAGCAAGCGCCCGCCGCCUCUCGUCGUCCCGGAGGUCAAGAAGCCGGCGCCGGCGCCGGCGGCCAAGCCGGAGUCCGGCAUGGAGGUGAUCAAUGCGUGGGAGAUCAUGGCCGGGCUGGAGGACGCCGAAUCGCCUGCGAAGAAGCCGGCCAAGCCGGGCCGUUGGUCGCCAGCCAGGGUCCUGGCCAUGGCCCUGUCGUCGCCCAAGAGGUCCUCGGCGAAGCGGAGGAACACGCCGGGGAAGGAGAACAGCCCGCUGCAGAGGUGCUCCGGGAACAACAGCAAGCCCAGCGACGUGGCCGACGAGGACAGGGUCCUCCGGCCGUACAACUCCAUCGACAACUCCAAGCUGUCCAGGGCGUCCAGGAGAUUCUCCUCCCCGGCCAGCGCCCGGAUCAUCCGGAAGCCCAACGCUGCUGCCGAGAGCGGCGGCAUGUCCUCUUCGCGUCGGAGCCUGAGCCCGCUGUUCGAUCCGGAGCUCCUCGCGUCCAUCGAGCGCGAGCUCUCGGAAGAAGGCGCACACAUCAAGCGCGUGGUUGGGUCCGAGAAGCCCAAGCAGCCGAAGGUGGUGCCGGCGAUCGUGGCGGAGGGCAAGUGCCCGCCCGGCGGCGCGGACGCCGUCGUGCUCUACACCACCACCCUCCGCGGCAUCCGCAGGACGUUCGAGGAGUGCAACGCGGUGCGCGCCGCGAUCGAGGCCCACGACGUGAAGGUCAUCGAGCGGGACGUGUCCAUGGACUCGGGCUACCGGGAGGAGCUGCGGCUGCUGCUGGGCGGGCGGGAGCUGCGCGUGCCCGCCGUGUUCGUCCGGGGCAAGCACGUCGGCGGCGCGGCCGAGGUGACGAAGCUGGAGGAGGAAGGAAAGCUCAGGGCGAUGCUCCAGGGGCUGCCGCGGGCGCGGGUCUGGUGCGCGGGAUGCGCCGGCGUGCGGUUCGUCAUGUGCAGGGACUGCAACGGCAGCCGCAAGGUGCGCGUCGACGGCGAGAAGAAGGAGACGGUCCAGUGCGGCGAGUGCAACGAGAACGGCCUAGUCCGGUGCCCCAUCUGCUCGUGAUUGAGGUUGAAGCUGUCUUGGAUUGGGUUGAUUUGCUUGUCUACCCGGUCUGGUGGUCUUUGAGCCUCGGCUCUGAUUUUGCGAUGUGUGCUUGUUGUUGCGCUCUGCAACGGCUAAUUUAACCAAAUGUAAUCUGUGCCCGUUCAUAUUGUUUCGUAUGCAAUUCAAUUGGUUUUUUUAUUGUUUCGAGUUGAAGCUUUCAAAGACUUUAUAUUGCUAUUGCAAAUUCGCCAUUUGGUUGUAUUAAAGUCGAUUACAGAGGGAUUUGUAAAGGUAAAUUCCCCUUUGUUUGUGCCUGAAUCACAACUACUCAAACUUUCAGAGUAGCGCUUAGACGGACACGUAUUUGAUACGAACGAUCUUCAAAAAAGGGCAGUACGUACUCAAAUUAUCAUUCAUCAAAUGAAUCAAACUUCAAUCAUCGCAAAAUCAAAGACAAAUAAAAAAAAAUAAGAAUCAAAAUAUCAAUCAUGGUGGAGGUUCCUAUUUAGCUACGAGCAACGAUGCAAAAGCUAUCUUCUGUCCACAAAGGUAUGCCUGCCUGAGAAUGUACCCGGAGUC
This 74188-nucleotide long non-coding RNA is filed under the name Brachypodium distachyon (stiff brome). RNAcentral describes it as "long non-coding RNA (BDIS_LNC005755)". The record is from RNAcentral. Lineage: Eukaryota; Viridiplantae; Streptophyta; Magnoliopsida; Poales; Poaceae.